GAUAAUUGAGGAGAGUAAUAGUCCCAACAUGCUUCAUAAUGUACGGAAACAUGUGAUUUUUUACUUACAGAAGCAAAAUUUUUUUUCAUUUACUAUUAGUAAGUUUAAUUUAAAGAAAAAUCAAAUUUUGUUAGAUAAUGAGUAAAUCUGAUUACACCAAGUGUAAAUUUCUAUUUGUGAAUAUAAGUUACUCACUCUGUCCCAUUGAAAGUGUCCUACUUUUUUUUUUUUUUGUCUCAAAAUAUUUGUCAUGUUUGACAUUUCUAAUUAUUUUAUACUCUGAAAUUCAUCUUAUAUCAUUCAUUAAUAAUGCAUAAAGACAAAUGUAAUGUGAUUGCUUUCUAUUUCUUACUUUGACUAGUACAUGAUUAAGAGCAAAAGUGAAUCUAAAGGAAAAGGUUUUUGGUCUAGUUUACUGUGCAUAAAAAGCACAUAUCUCCAAAUAUGACUAAAUAUAUGGGACGGAGUGAGUAUUGUUUAGGAGACAUAAUUACCAAUUUUAUUUAAAAACUUACUAAUAUUAAUGUUAAUUAUUCUAAUACAAUAUCGAAAAAGACUCUAAAAAACCUAAUAAUGUCGCUAAUGUUAAUAGAAACCUACAAUAGUCAAAGGUUGCCCCAAUAUUAUUACCAUAACUAUCCACAUUGUAGCAUUCUCCAUUAUUGUAUUAGUACUUGUGAUCAUAGAUCAAGUCUUAGUUCUAAAUUUGAUAAUAUAUAGACUUCUUCAUGCAGCUAAAGUUCCACUUCAUUACAAAUAGCUAGUAAACAAUUUAAUUUCUUGAUGCGGAUAGUAUUUUUACCAAUUGAUCCAUGCUUAGUGAUGAUGAUCCAUAUUCACUGGUGGCUUCUUCUGCAACUUUCUUCCAAUAUUUUGCAUUAUUUCUCAGUGUUUUUCCUUGCUCGCCAUCCAUCAACUCCCUUACAACUCUCUCGACUUCAUCCCUUUUAACUUCUUGAUCUAUUUCGAGGCCAACUUCCCACUCUGAGCACGCAUACCUGCAGUUAAUCUGUUGAUCUGCAUUAACUGGCCAACAGAUCAUUGGAACUCCAGAUGAUAAGCUCUCAAUUGUCGAAUUCCAGCCACUGUGUGUCAAAAAUCCCCCUACUGAAGGAUGAUUGAGCACUUCCUCUUGUGGGCACCAGCCAGCUAGAAAGCCUUUAUCUUUAGUUUCUGCCAAAAUUUCAUCUGGCAAAGCUGAUGAUUUCCCAUCAACCAGAUCAGGCCUUAUAAUCCACAGGAAUGGAUGUUUGCUAUUAACUAUACCCCAACAGAACUCUCCCAGCUGCUCUGGUGUAGGGGCUACGACACUACCAAAAUUUACAUAAAGAACAGAACUAUGUUUCUGGCUGUUGAGCCACUGAAGACACUCUGCUUCUUCUUUCCACAUGUUACAAUCAAGAGAGUUUAAGGGAUUUUCUUUAGGAAUCUUAUUCAGGAGCAAGCUAAGGGGUCCAAUAGCAUGAACAAGUGGAUACUUCGAAGAUAGAAAUUCUAAUAUCUCUUUCUCCAAGGCAUCAAAAGUGUGGAUAAUUACUACCGAAGCUUUUGAAGCAUCCUGAGCUGAUUCCAUCAGAAAGUGAAACAGGACAUCAUUAGGAUCUGCUGUUCGGAGACGGCUUGGAAGAUCUUUCAGACGAAUACUCUUUUCUGCAGUCCAUUGUAUGCUAGUGUUUUCCAAGUAACCAUUUUUUAAGUAGCGCACAUCUGCAACAUCAGAGGUAAUCAUCAAAGCUAAGAUGUGUCCUCAAAUUCAAAUCUUUUUCAUACUACUCCUACUUAGUACAUAUAAUGUAAUUAACCAUUGAAUUUAUACUAGUACCUUUCAGUGGUGCUAGACCAUUUUCAAAGAGAGAAGAAAACUUGUAAUAGCCCAUUACUCCACAAGCUGCCAGGGUGAAGAUAGCAGCAACAGGAAUGCCAAAUUCUUCAGCUGCAGCAAAAGUGAAAAACAUUAAACCAUCAGCGACUAUGCAAGUCACUGGAGGAUUUUCAGUGGAGGGAUUCUCGUUGAGUUUCACAAGGAGGUUCCUGAAGGGAGCAAGAAAGUUGUGCGUAAUGGAUUCACAAAGAGCACUAGCGUCUUGGCUGGAAUCUGAAUCAGAAGGAGACAGGCCAUCUGGGAUAGUUUCGAAACGGAAGUCCGGCAAGCACUCCAGAAAACUUGGACCUUUAGAUCUGAGCAACCGUUUGUGGUUGAAAUCUGUGUUAACAAAAGUAAUGAAGUAGCCCCUGUGGUGAAGGAGUUUUGCUAGAUUCAUUGUGGCUUUGAUGUGGCUUUGAUGUGGAUAUGCUAUACAAACUGCAUGGGGCUUAAUAGCCUCUGCCAUUCUACAGAUUCAACUCCACUGUCUUACGGCUACAGUGUGGGAUGGGUAGCUAGAGGAAAAAUUGGGCUGGGGAGGGGACUCAGGGGAGAGGACGUUGACUAGAUAUGCUUGGGUCUUUUUAGACUUUUUAUCUGGGGCUUCGUGGACUUCAUUUUGCGUGUAAAACAUUGGAUCAGGACCUCACAAGUUAAAAUUUGUCCAGUUCAAACCGAUUGGUGUAAAUUACUACAACGUUUGGUACAGAAGCGUACAACUUCAGGUUUGUAGAGUAUAUGUACUCACAAUCACCGUCUGCGUUGCUGCUUUCCUCCAAACUAUAUAUACUGCACGCUUUUGCAAAAGACUAUCACUGUUGUACAAACAGGUCGCCAAGCCCUCUUAGACAUAUUUAUUAGGAUUGUGAAAAUCUGUAAAUAUUAAGAAUAUGAAAACAUCUCGCUAUGUCAGUGCUCUUUAUCUAUGUAAUAUAAAUAUAUGCAACAUCUCCCUAUGUUAGUACUCUCCAUCUAUGUAAAUAUAUGCAGUUAGUAAUAGGUUCAAACCAUUAUUAUUUUUCACUUCUUUACUGUAAACUUAUAUGCCUACAAAGCCAACACAAAGUUGACUUAGCUUGUAAUAAAGGAUCACUUCCUCAUAAAAGGUUGAGUAUUCGAAUUUUAUUGUUAAUGUAAGAGAUAUAUUGAUAAAUGAUUGUAAGAGCCUUUACAAAUGAUCUAUGGUUUCGAAAAUAUGUCCUAACUCAUAGUGGUGACAGAAACCGAACCCACCCAAUUUUAUUUUUUUUUACCAAAAAAAUUAUAGGUAUACAAAUGUUUCAGUACUCCCUUCUAUAACAUUGAACGCGCUGCUUUUCAACAAAACAUUUCCAUUAUGAUAAGAGCAAAUUACUCAAAAAAGUCACAAAACUUUUUGAAUAGUAGAGUUUUGACUACUCAAUUUUUAAGAGUAUGUAUUUACCUACUAAACUAUUAGAAGUAUAAAUUUUAGGUUAUUCUAUUUAUUUUUACCAUUUAAUCUACCAUAUCUAAGGGUUGCACGAAUCACAAGAUAUAAUCAGAUUUAACAUAUUUAACUAUGAAAAUAAAAAAAAAUGGUCUAAAAUUUACACUUAUGAUAGUUUAGUAAGUAAGUACAUACUCUUAAAAAUUGAAUAAUCAAAACUCUACUAUUUGAAAAGUUUGGUCCCUAUGUGGGUGAUUUGCUCUUACAAUAGUAUCUGACAACUUCACCCCUUAAAAGCGAGACCCAAAUCUAGGGAUGACAAUGGGGACGGGUGCCCGCGGGGGGCUAAUGGGGCCGGAGGGAAUUUUUCCCCCCAUUUAGAAACGGGGCGCCACCCGUUUAAAAAAAAUAAUAAAGAUAUAUAUAUACAUAAUUAUAUAUAAUAUUUAAUUUAAUUAGUUAUAAAUUUAUAAUAAUGAUAUUAUUAGUUAUAUGUAUCAUUUAAUAUAUAUUAGCAUAUGUAAUAUAACUGAUAUUAUCAAUUAUACUACUAAUUAUACAUGUCUACUAAUAAAAAUUAUUUAUUAUUUAUACUAAAUUUAUUAAUACAUUUAUAUUAAAUUCCUAACUACACUUAACAUAAUAACACUUUUUCUCAAAAAAAAAAACACAAUAAUAAUUUAGUGAUUGUAUUUGUAUCAAAAGUGAAAAUUUGAUUAUUUUAGUUAUAUUUGUUUUAUCAUAUUGGAUUGUAUUCAAAUUGUUUUUGUUUAAUUUUUUUUAUGAGUUUCAAUUGUGAAGUUACAAUGAAUAAUAAGUUGGUGAUGUGUUGAUAUUUUAGUACUUGAUUAUUUACUAAAAUUUAAUUAUAAUGAAAUUAUAUAACAAAAAAAUUUUUAACCCCACGAGUGCUCCAACGGGGGAAGCCAGAGACGAAGAUGGGGGCAGAGGCAGGGGGCAAUAAUGGGCACCCUUACCCAAAUCUCCCCCGCUCCAACCCCCCGUUGCCACGAGAGAAAAGUGUGAGUUGGGUCAUGAACAGUACAUAUGAUCUCCUAUUAACACUCUGAGUGGGUGGGCAGUUUCAGAAUUUCAGUUGAAGUUUGAUAGGCUGGCAUUGCUGGAUUUUGGAGAUAAUGUGCGGUAGACGUGGCUGGGUGUUUCUUUAUCAUCUUACGUCGUUUGACUGUUAUACAGCAGAAUUAUUAACUGAUUCGUCUUUUUAGGCAUUGUCAACCUAUAACAGUAGUGCGGUGGGGAACUUUUACAUCGGAGUAUAAUACAGUCUCUUUCUCCUCCAUUUGAUUUUUGGUCGUCUUUUUAUACCCCACAAACAUUCCACUAUCAAAUACCACAGCUGCCUCCAUGUCCCCUUCAUCCUCACCUAAGCCACUUUAUAUUUAUAUUUUCAAGGUGCACAAAAAUCACCCAUUUAAAAUUCAUAGACGUGGUUUUCAAGUUGAAAUUGGGUUUUUCAAUUGACAAGUUUCCAUUUCAAAUAUUAUCAGCACUCCGCUAUCAGAAAAAUUAAUGGGUACCUUUUUUGUUUUCUUUCUCUCUGCAAUUAUAUAUUAGGAUUUUACGAAUGAAUACGUAUGGUUACCAUCUUCUCUAUUUUCAAAGCAAAAAAAAAAAAAAAGAUUCGUGUUUAUAUUUUGUCAUUCAAUAGGGUGGUUGUAUAAUAAUCGUUUGGAUAAUUCGUGAUUUUUUUUUGGGAUAUUUCAUGGAGUCCGCCUUGUGAUUUUGAGAAUGUUUGGAUGGUGAGAAUGGAAUAUUUUUGCAUAUUUUUAGUUGAUUUCUAUCUCAAGUUAGCGUAGUAUUGGUAAUCCCAGUUUAUUAUGCAGUAUAUGCAUGAAUAAAUUCUUCCCUAAGCUUUUGCUUCAAGUAAGAGCAUGACAAGAGCUUGAUAUUUAACAGUAGCAUAGCACCAGCACAAGUGCACAGAUUGCAACUUUUGAUGUUAAAAAUUACUGUAAUAGGAAUGAUGCAUAUGAGCAAGCCAAAAACCAAAUGCCUCAUGGAAGUUGUAUGCAUAUUUUACAACAAAAGUCAAGGGAAUUGUUCGUUGGCAUGCAUCAUGUCUACCCAUGGAUCAAGAAAUAAUCAAAAUCCUCCACCUCAAUAUGUUUCAUUUCGAUUUGAGUGGUACAGUACUUGGAGUCUUGUGAGCUGUGACAAUCAUUGCAAACUAUGUUUUAUGUGAUAUGUAUCAAUAUACAUAUCCUUCUCUUAUGCUUUUGAUGCAGAAGCGUGAACCAAAAGAAAGAGUCACACGAAUAAAUUCCUGAACAAGAGAUUGUAGAAACAAAAAAGAAAAUCUCAAUCCAUUGGAAAAUUUCAAUAAAGGUUCGAUAAAGUUGAAUAGGAAUGCUCGAAAAUAGUUAGGAUUCGGCUAUUUAUAGAUUACUAGGAGGCAUAAAUGCGCAUUGCGCACUGGAAAUGCAAAUUGCCCUGCCCAAUUUUGAAACAAUAAAAAAUAAUAAUUUAUUCAGAAAAAGUACGUUUUUAGCAUAGGAAUUUCACAAGCUUGGAUAGUGUAUCAGUGCUUUAAAUGUAUAAUUGUCAAGAGGGGUCUAAUUCAUAUAUAAUCAUAAUUCAAAAUGGCUUAAAAAGUUAUCAUCAGCCAUGUGCUGUUUGCAAUUGAAUAGCAAAGUGGGUAUGCGGUAGGCCAUAGUGAAAUGACAAACAUAGAUGUAUAAAAAUUUAACAAAGAAAAUAAAACUCAGAAAUGUGUAACAAAAUGUCAGCUUCAUGCCUCGCGUCUAUCUUCAUAGAAUCCAACGUCCAAAUUAAAGCUCUCGAAUUGUGCUAGCAGCAUUCCACACUUGGGGCAACCCAUAGAUCCAGCACACUACUACAACACGUCAAUCCUUCCUCAGUUCCAUAUAUUCACGUCGAGUUCCCUCAGCAUUCAAGACGAAAAUUUCUAGCUUGUCACCCUACAAGCACCAUAAAUAUGGUAAAACAAAAUAAUAGGCAAGACUAUACAACAUGAAAGGGAAGAAACAAGUUAACCAUAGUCCACACAGAUGCCUCGAUCAAGUGGUCUGACAAUUUAUAAGGAACUCUACACCACUAUUCAAAAACAACUUUCAAGUAAACCAGACCAUCUAAGAGUUGAUGUUGCAACAGAAAAUUUCAACACAAUGUCACUUACAACUAAGACAUCAAACACCACUACAUAGCCUAAGUGAAGUCUGCAAAUGCACCUUAAGACCAAAAAUUUUUUAUCUGGCUACCAACCCAACUAACACCCCAUUCACGACCUAACAAACAAGGAAAAGAAAAAGGGAGCAAGAAGGGAAUAGGCUUUUUUCAGUGCAUACAUAGUUCUAGAUGACAAAACAUGAGCUUUUUACACAUAUCCAAUAGAUAUGGUUUACUUACAAAAUUCAUUAAGUAAACACAAAUAAGUAGAUCCCACCACAAGAUAUCAUUCAUCCUGUUAAAGAACCAUCUUACAGAGUUUGCAAUUAACUUCAUUAGGCUAAAUUAAAUUAGAAGUUUCACACUCUUUUUGCCCUACGGACAUAUGGGAUUUACACAGGAAACUUAUAGAAAUUGUUCUGAGGUUUCUUGAACGUUUUCAAUUAAGAAUAACAUGGGAAAGGAAAUAGGCAGAAUCAACUUACGGUGUAGAUAUUUCUUUCUGUUGCAGAAGUAAAACAUGCCUUUGCCAGGUCGUAACAGCAUACUGACAACUCAUGAUUUGCAACUUUGUCAGAAUAAACAAAAUAAUUACCAAACUAUAUUGUUAAAAUUUAGAGAGAAGCUAGACCUUUGCAAGUAAUAAGCGAGGGCUGGGAGACUUUAGUUGGUUGUCCAAGAAAGGCAUGAUCAAGGUAGAACCAAAAGCUUGUUAACUAUAUCCAACCCUUCCAUAGGAUUCAACGGCGUCACAUGUGAAGACACACCCCCUCCCUAGUGUUGUUUAACAAUGCAAAAAGGACUAGAUGAAAAUUGAAGAUGAUUAAAGUGAAUAAAAUAUACAUCUAUCAAUGAAAGCAUACCCUGACCAUCAAGCUCCCCCAGAACAUAAAAGCAUAGUAAGCAAAGAAGCGCUAGUAGUAAAGGGUGUUCAACAGCAACUGAGCCAUGGCGGGAGUGCUCAUUUGUUUAUUGUGCUGUUGCUGAUAUAUCUACAUUUGAGGAAAAAAGCAUUAAAACAUCAGUUAUAGCACAAUAGAUCACUCUCACUUGCAGAAGGAAAAUUUUGGUUAUAAUGAGUCAUUGAAGCAUAGUAUAUUGUGAUCAUAUAUACAGAUUUUCCAAUGAUUAAAACAGAACCCUCUUUUCAAAAAAAUUUUUUAAUCCUAGGAAAACUAAAAAUCUGACCUCUAAAUACAUCUUGAAAGACCCAAAAUAUUUACCUUCCAUGUUGGAGCAAGAUCCAAGAGUUCUUUUCCUGAAGAUAUCAUCCCAUGGAAACUAAGUUAUGGAAUUGCCAACCCAAAAUCAAGACAAACCUGUAAUUGUAGAUUCCCUUCCGUAAAAGGACUCACAAAGCAAAGAAACAAGCCAGAACAGGUCUUACCUGAGGAUACACAGAGCUAGAGCUAGAUAUGAUGCUUUCUUUGUAAAACGAUAAGAUGCAUGUAAAAGCAUGAGCCGAGACUUGCUAAAUCAUUUGUUUUCAAGAAUGUUGUGGAGAUGUAGGGGAGUAGAUAGUCUGAAAUCAAGAUCAUUAUCCCCAAAACUAAUAUCAAUAAUAAUGUAGAAUUAGAGUUUCAAAGAUAAAUGGUUCGAAUAAAUAGAGAAACCAGAUUGCAUCCCAGUCUGCCUUAGGAAUUCUAUUGUGAUACUCAAUCAUUCUGCUCUAAAUCAACCCAUAACAUAAAUCAAGUAUGGGUAAAAUGGUAGACUUCACCAUAGCAAUGAGAAAAGAAUCUAGUCAUAGGCCAAAAGUCCUAGAGGCAAGAAAAAUAGCAUAAAUCAACCCAGAAAAAUUCCAAUCGGAAUUUAGACUUCACCAAUCAGCUAAAGAAAUUAAAUGACACAUUUUGGAUCAACACAUAAAAGAUACUUCAGAAGUCUUUCCCUCAAAAAAACUAAAAGAACAACCACAAUUAUAUUUCUUACUAAAUUGCUGGAAGAUUCUACAAAAAGAAAAGCUUAAUCAAAUAAGGAAAUGCCAAAUAUAUCAUGAUAAGCCAUGCAUUAUGGUAAACUCUUUCCCAUUCACAUUCAGUAGAAAAAAAUGCAUGCAAAAGUCAAUAGAGGGGCACAAAGAUUAAACUGGUAAAACUCACCAUGAUCAAUAUCAACUCCAAGGACACUGCAGCAAGAAAACUUCUUUGCUGCCAAUAUGGAUAAACAAACACAUUCGAGCCACCAGUAUUGCACCAUCCCAAUACUCUAGCUUCUUCGUGUGCAAGAGGAGAACCAUUGCUCCUCCUAUUGAUUCUCCUAGUAAUAUGCUCAUCUUCUUCCUAUUUUCUUCCCUGAAAAUCAAAGCACCCAGAAACUCAACCAACCACUCAUUUUAAGUCCUUUAUAGUCUUUAAAAAUAAAAACAAGAAAAGUAGGAAAUUAACUAUAGAAUCCUUCUCUGAUAAAGAGGAAAUAGCGGAUUUAUUUCAAUUUUUACAGCAGAUAUUGGUGAAUGAUCAAAGCAGUCAUUAACAAAACCAAUGACCUUCCAUUGCAAGACGAUUCCAGGAUCUAUUAUAGCCAUGAGAAAAUCAUAACGUUAACAUUUCUAUUCUACUAAGACGCGUACAAAACAAAAAGGCUACUGGAAAAACGAAAUAAAAACCCAAGGGAAAACAGCAACGAAAUCCACAGAAAAAAAAAAGAUCAUAUCAAGGGAAAAUAAGCUUAGGGAUACUACUCCGCAGAGAUCUUUAUAAUUAAUGGCAGGAUUACUCCCUUACAACUUAUUUUCAAAAAAAAAAAAAGAAAUUGCUGACAUAUAUAAGCAAAGAACACUGAGCAGCAAGAAUAAGGGCGAGAUACAGCAUUGAAAUAGCAUCAAAAGCAGGACAAGGAUUAAAGCAAACACCAUGGCCAACAACAAAUUGCAGUGUAAAAUGGGGAAAAAAAUCAUAUGAAGCAAAUAUGCAGAGGAACCACGAUUACGAUUAAAACGCACCAAUAAAAGAAGCUCGCAAUCAAGCUGGCCAAAGAAGGCGGCGAGAGGAAGGAGCUCAAAAAGGGGAACGGGUUCAAGGGCACAAUGAAUCUGAGAAAAUGGAAAUGAGAAACCAGAUGAGAAAACCCUAGGAAAAAAGGGCACAACCAACCCGUGUUGGAAUUCGGAUGACAUCGGAAGACACAGCCAUGAUAAAGCAUGCCAAUUGCCAUUCUUGAGAAAGCUCGCCUGUCAGCUCCGAACAAUGCAGCUAUGAGACCCGGAAAUGGAAAAGAACUGGCAGUGCAAUUAAUUCCAAGGAAAAAUACCGAUUUUCGUCCUCAAACUUUGGACACAAGACACAUUUCGUCCCUCAUCUUUCGAGCAUGACACAUCUAGUGUCUGAAUUAAGAAUUUUAGACCAAAUGUCAUCCUCAAACGGCAAUUUACUCACCAUUUAACGAAACCGGUCACGUGAGAUUCACAUACCGUUAAGUGAAAGCUUCUGUCCGAAAGAACCCAGGUGGAAAAGGACGUUGUCUCCACUUUCCUUGUUCAAAACCGAAUCUGAACUCACACUCUCUCUACAAGUUCACUUUCCCCUUUCGCUUGCCUUUCACUUUCCCUUUUCCUUUCACUUCAACGACUUCCUCUGCAAAUUUCCAAGCCUAAGCUCAAGCUCCAUCUGAAAAUUUCGCCGAGAGCAAAUCCCCUCUUCCAAAUCAAAUUCUGCCAAGAAAUAAAGUAGAAACUUGCAUAAGGCAACCCCCAGCAUUGUGGCUGUAUUUCCCUAAAAUGAGAUCCAGAAAUCUUGAGUCGUCAUCGUCAUCGUCAUCAUCAUUAAACAGCAACGCCCAGCUGUGUGGUUGUGGAUUGCGGCCAAAAAUGGCAACAUAUUGGCGGGCUGAUAAUCCAGGGAGACGAUUUUACGGUUGCUCAAGAUGGCCAGUAAGAAAUUUUUUAGUUUUGUUACUAUUUCAACUCAAAUUGAAUUGUGACUGUGCUUUGCUGAUGUUUAUUAAUGGGAUUAUAUUUGUAGAGACCUGACAGGUGCAAAUAUUUUGAAUGGCAUGAUGAACCAAUUUGUACAAGAGGAAGGACUAUUAUACCGAGUUUGCUGAGAAGGGUGAAUCGGAUGGAAGAAACAAUUGCAAAAAGCCGUAGAAGGGAAAAAAUUUUGAUUGUGGUCAUCAUACUGUUGGCUAUGCUGCUGAUUAUAUCUGUCACUAUAAAAAGGACUGGACAUGCAAUGGAGCGAAAAUUAGUGCUAAGCUUGGAGUGAGCUAUUCCAUUGAAGCUGUUAAAUCUAGUUCAUUUCCAUGUUUGUACAAUUUUGAUUGGAUUAGCAGCAGUAGUAGUAGUAUUGACUGGUUGUUGCAAAUGGUGGCAUGUUUUAACUUACCUUACCGAGUGAGAAUAUAGGAUUAGGUCUUGAUUCUUUGUAUCCUUCUUGUUUAUGUGGAAUGUUGAGCUUCUAUAUACCUCUUUUGUUUAUGUAGCAUUAAUUUGGUAAUUUGGUUGUUCUUUUUCUUGUUUAGACUACAAAUAAUCUGUCAAUAAGAUUGGUUUGAAGAUAAAGAAAUGUACCAAUCACUUGAAUAUGGACAAGACAAAUUUUUACACCAGACAAUUUCCAUUAAUAAAGUACCAAAACCAUGUGUUCACAUCGUAGCACUAAUUCUGAGGACAACAAACAAAAAAGUGACCACACCAAAAUAUGAUGUCUGCUUCAAAAAAGGACCAUUCCUAUUGUCAACCUCAGUCCAUAAUCUACAUCAAAACAAAAAAAAAAACAAUCUAAGGCUCUACUAUCAAUAUUUAUAGUGCUUUGUUUUUCCCUUUCAUUCUUGAAGAACCAACAACUCGUUUGGUAGCAGCAGCAGCAGCAACUUCCCUGUGGACAGAUUUGGUCUUGACAGGUAUCUGUACAUGCUCUUUCUUUUUGUUCCAUGUACUGGUUGACUGUAUUUAACUUGAGCUCUUUUUAGACCAAAAACUUCAUACAAAUCAUGAGAAGUUAGGGCUGAACUUGUAACAGCAACAUCUUCUAAAUGGUUAGUCUCCUGAGAGGUUAAAUGUAUUAAAGAACAUGUAUUAAAUUUCUUUUAAUCAGGAUAAAUGACAUAAAAGACCUUCUUUACAUAUGGAAAACAACUAGAUAUAAAUAAAUUACAAAGAAAAAAUCUGUAUUGGCACCACCAGAAAUGGUAUGUGGAUAACAAAUAAGUGACUAGAUCAUAUAGAAAGGACUUAAGACUCUAAAAGGAAACCCCUCAAUGAAGGCAGAUGCAAUGAACAGAAAUUACUCCAAUAUAUAAUGAACAUCAACAGAAAUUACUCCAAUAUAUAAUGAACGGUUGGCCAUGUGUGGACAAAAACAAAUUCCCUGUUACUUUUCACUAGAUAGUGCCUGCCUCAACAUCAACUUUGCUAUGAUAAACUUUGCUGCUGUGGUGAGCAUGUACAGCACUCACAGUUGAAGUUGCAAGUUUUGUUACAUCAUGCAUUGAUCCAUCUUGAACUCUACUUUCUGCAUGUGGACAUUUCUGCAAAGUAAGAAAAACAACUCAAGUAAUUUAAUUUUUAUAGAUUAUUGAAUAGAAGGAGAUAAAAUGAAACUUUAACAUCAAAACAAUUGUAUACAAGACUUACUGCUAGCUUGGCAGACUUAUUAUUUGGAUUCUUGUCGAAUAUUUGGGGAGUACAUGUAACCAGAAUCUCAGUGCAAUUAACUUCAUCGUAGUCUCCAUUGUCAACUUCAUCAGAUCUUGUAUUGUAGGCAGCUUCUUUGCUCUUUAUACUAGAUCCUGAGGCAUUGUUUUCAUCCUUUUUAAGCUUACAAGAUCUCACAUUGUGGCCUUGUUGCAGACAGUAUUUGCACCUUAUUACCUGCCCUACUCUACUCAUUUUCUUGGCCUUUUUUCCUUUGCUUGCUGUUCCUCAUCAGCAGUCCUUCUCCUUUGUUUUUUUUAUCUUCUAGCUGUUUUACCAUAUAAAGGGGGUUUUGGACCAUCAACAUGAGUCUUCUCCCAAUUUCCUUCCCCAUUCAUUAGACAAAUAGCUCCUUCAUAGCUCUUUAGGUAUGUCUCAACUGUAUACCAGCUAGAUACAUAUAACAUGGGAUCUUUUUAGCUAACCAAAGUGCAGCAAUUGCAUGAGGACAAGGAAUUCCUGUCCGCUCCCAUCUCCUACAUGAACAAGUUUGCUCUUUAAUGUUCACAGUAUAAUGAUCACCAUAUGGACAAGAAACUUCAUACAAAUCAUCAUUUGACUUGAAAGGAAAACAUUGUGUUGCCUUAUCCAUUCUCUUUUGUACCCUCUCAAUGAUUCUAGGACAAUACAUAUACUCUUUUCAUUUUUGUCUUGCAAUGUCUCUAUUCUGCUGCAUUUGUUGCAUCAUAUACAACCUUAAUAAUUCCAUCAUUUCAAUGAUUGGCUUCUCUCUAGCAUCCAAAAUCUUGCCGUUGAAACAUUUACAAAUAUUAUUCAAUAGCAUAUCACAUUUCGAAUGGGUGCUAAAGUAAGCUCUACUCCAUUGAGAUGGUGGUUUAUCAUCAAACCACUUGGCAGCAUCCAAGUCAAUUGUUGCCAUUUCUUCCAUUUUCCUAACAAAUUCUGCUGGUGUAGUUGCCUUUGCAGCAGCCCACAACGUUCUCUUUAAAGCUUCCCCUUUGAACCCAGCAGUAGAAAAGUUGCUGUGUAAGUGCUUUACACAAACCCUAUGAGCUGCAUUUGGAAAAACAUGAAUACAAGCCUGAACUAGUCCCUUUUGCUUGUCACUCAUGAUUGUCCAUUCAUAAUAUCUUUCAGUUUUCAAAUCUUCUUUGAGUAAUUUGAAGAACCAUGUCCAGGAUUCCUUGUUUUCACCCUCAACUACAGCAUAUGCAAUAGGAAAAAUGCCAUUAUUACCAUCUAGUCCAACAGCAAUCAAUAGAACAGCCCCUGCUAUUCCUUUCAAAAAUGUGCCAUCUACCCCAGUCAAAGUCCUACACCCAACCAAAUAUCAUUGUUUCACUCCAUGAAAACACAUGUAAAGUCUUUGGAAUCUUUGUUGCCCUUUUGAAGUGCCAUCCAUAGUCUUUAAUAUGAUAGAACUACCAGGAUUAGAUUUCUGAAUUUCAUGCAUGUACGCUCGUAACUUGUUGUAUUGGUCACUUUCAUUACCAUGAAUAAUGUUCAAAGCCUUUUUUCUAGCCCUAUAUGUUUGUUUUUUUGUGAAGGGGCAUUUGUUUUCCUUCAUCACCGUUUUUCUAAAAUGCUCCACAUCUACCUUAGGAUUAGAUGUAAACUCCUCACAAUACUUUCUACCAACCCAACCAGAAUUUACAAGUGGAUUUUGAUAUGUAAAGCCACAUUUGUGAAUGUCCUCAAAUGUCCUAAUUUGCACACUUCCUUCUCCACCAAAUUUUCUAGCAUAAAUAUGCCAAUUGCAGCCUUUACUUCUACAUUUUGCCCUCAAUCUAACCAAAUCCUGCUUCACAAAUUUACAAGGCCUCCCCUGUCUUACACUGUAGUUUGUAAUAGCUAACUUGCACUCUUUGAUGGUACUAAAAAACAUCUUUAAUUUCAAUUUUGGAUUAUCCAUGUCCUUGGGAUUGAACAUAACACACCUAUUACUACCAUUUUCAUCAUCAGACCCAUGCAAACUCUCAAAAUCUAAUUCAGAGUCAGGGGCUACAUCAUUAUCUUCACACUGAACCAAAUUAGCUUCAACCUGUCCUUGUUUUGCCAAAUUAGUUUUCAAUUCCUUAUAGUGUGAGACACCAAACCAUUCAGCAUUUGUAUCUAUGUUAUCAUUGAAAUCAGCAUCAUCUUCUUCACUUUGAUUAUAAUCAGAAUCUACUGCUGAGAAGAAAGACUCAUUGGCUGAAUCAGAGUCACUGUUAUCAUUUCCUCUCUCUUCAUGAUCAUGUUUACCAUCUUUACCACUAGCAGGACCUUCUUCAUUCUUAUCAACCUUAUAAGCAUCAUUGCCAAGUCGGUGAACCAAAAUUUCAUGAAAUGAGAUUUCAAGGUACAAGAUAACUUCUUAUCAACCUUAUAAGCAUCAUUGCCAAGUCGGUGAACCAAAAUUUCAUGAAAUGAGAUUUCAAGGUACAAGAUAACUUCCCUAAUUGAACCAGCAGUCCUUAGAAUAUAUCCAUGCAAUUCUCUACUAUUGUCUAUCCUUUUAAAGCUAUUAUUCUCCAAACCAUAGUACAAUUUGUGACCAAACACACCAGCAUCCUCAGUCAAUCUAUCCAUUUCAAAAAUACUCAAGCCUAUACUCUCAACAUAAUCAAGGACACAUACAUCUCCACCCUUAUAAUGCGGUUGGGGAGUGUAAAAUAUCAACCCUCCACAGUGACAUUUUAGUGUAAUCAGUGAGCUACCUUUUUCUGAUAGUUAAAAAAAAGAAUAUAUCAACUACUGAAUAAGCAACCAAACCAUUACUUUUAUAUUUUAACAAUAUUGGAUAAACUUAUUAUUAUAAGCUUAACAAUAAUUUGAAGACGGCAAAGUGCAAUAAUUUAGGGACCAUAGAUUUAUAAUUCAAACACAUAUGUUCUAACCAUUACAAAAAUUAAUCUUUUCAAACAAUGUCGACUAAACAUUAAUAAGAUUUACACCUGUAAAAUAGACAUCAAGGACCCUAUGUAUCAUAUUAAAAAAAAAAGUUCAAACUUUGUAGCUGGACCUAGCAUUAACAAUAAUGUAUCACAAUGAACCAGCUUUGAAGCUACUGGGCAAAGGAGAACCGUACUCGAGUAUCACUUCAUUUGGAAUAAACACUGGAUCCAUGAGAUUUGUUUUUACUUUCGGCCGCCUUCUUUCUUCAAUGAAAUGCUCCUCGAGUACUGGUGUAGAGCGUGUUUGUGGGUAAACAGGGUAAUUCCAUUUCAUUAAGAAUAAUGUUUUAUACCAAUCAUAUAGCCCUUUUAUGUAAAGCUGAUAUGAUAUGAAUAUGAGCUCAACUUUUCCUACUAAGAUUGCUUAAAAGGUUAUGUGACAAGCUGCUGCUAGUAUUUUUAGCUAAAAAAAACAAUAAAAAUAUAUCACAAACACACAUGUGAAGGACCACAUCUACAUAGCUUGCCACUAAAAGGUCAACAUUUUCAUUAUUAAUACUUUAAUCAACAAAUUAUUAAACCCUGGACAACUUACCAUAAUUUGGUGGGGCACAAUCGUUCAACUCCUUCUUUCUCACCAACAUAUUUUUCCGCUUUGCUACUUAGUGGAUGCCAGCAGGUCAGCUUCUUCUUCUUCGAUCUUCAAUAAUUUUUUGGAAUGUGCUUUUGAAAGUGUAAAAAUUGAAAGGCAAAGGAAAGGGGAAAAGGGUUUUACACAAAUAUAAGCGAGCUUGUAGAGAGAGAGAGUUCAGAUUUGGAAAGGAAAAGGGAAAGUGGAGACAACAUCCUUUUCCACCUGGGUUCUUUCGGACAGAAACUUUCACUUAACGGUACGUGAAUCUCACAUGAACGGUUUCGUUAAAUGGUGGGUAAAUUGCCGUUUGAGAAUGACAUUUGGUCUAAAAUUCUUAAUUCAGAUACCAGAUGUGUCAUGUCCGAAAGAUGAGGGACGAAAUGUGUCUUGUGUCCAAAAUUUGGGGAUGAAAACCGGUAUUUUUCCUUAAUUCCAAAGCAGAAAACCCAUGGGCGAUCCAAUUACCCGAUCCAUUCGAAUGGAGCAGCCGGGGAAGUGGAACAUUACAUAACUCACGCGAGCGGCACAUUACGACGACGAAACCUCUUGGCACGUUGUAUAUUCUGUUGAUAAUAUUUAUUAGUAAAAACUAGGAGGCAUAAAACGCGCUGCGCGCGUUGGGAUAAACAGAAAAUAUGCCCACUUAGACAUAUGGAUUCAUGGAACAAAAAUGUUUGUCAGUUAAUAAUUGUGUACACAGCUAAAUAUAAAUAUACAUGAAUAAGUAGAAGGCAAAAUUUAGAGUCUAUUUGACCCAUCUUCACCCACAUAGAGUCUAUUUGACCUGAAUCCUGAUACAUGAUUCAUAUCAAAAUUUACACCAAAUUUCCCUUCAUUCAUAUAGCAGUUGUAUCCAUGAAAUCCUCUUUGCAACCGGGAGAAGAACAAAGAGGCCUGUUUCUUUGACGUUGACAUGAAAAUGAAGUCAUCAAUUAACCUUAAAAGCAGAUAUUUGCAGUGGUACAUGACAGCUUUGUUCUCAUGGUGGAUUGCUGCAGAUGAAGCAUCACGUGUAUCUUGGUUGCCAAAUGAAUGUGUGGGAAGCUCCAGAAACUUUCUCCAGAUUUGUAUCCAAAAACUUGUUCCUACUUUUUAACAUCUCUUAUGACAAAUGCAAAAGAAAUCAAACAAAACACCAGAAAAGACAAAACAUCAAAAAGCAGCAAACAAUCACAGCCAGAUAUUUAGUAUCAGGGAAAGAACAAAGCAUACAAGGAAAAAAAGAUAAAAAAAAUUAGCAUUAAGACCAUUGCAUAGCUCAAAAGCAUUAGUAAAGCAAGUAUCCAAGAAACACAUAAAGGAAUAGGGGGGAAAGGCAAUUCUCUAAGAUUCCAACUCCAUAAAAAGAAUACCAACCAUGGAACAAGUGAAAAAUGUAGGUAAAGCAGAGCAACAAACAACUGCAACCUUGAAUUUCGGGCCAUGGUACAAGUUAAGAACUCAAGAGGGCUAACAAGAGUCAGUCAAGCCAAUUUAGCCUACAUACCACUUUAGAACGUUGAUGGCUUCUAUUGAACCCAACAUGUCAACUACCCCAUCAUAUUUCCCAGAAUAUGGUAUUGCAUCAGUAUGAGAACUCGUUGAAUCUGAAACUGGAGCAAGCUCAGUUUCGGAACCAGUCCUACAAAAAAACCAAAUGACGAUUUGGGUUAAGUACAUGUAUAACAAGCAGAAGAGAAUGAACAAUGGAUUAUUACAAAAGAAUUUUUCAAUCAGAUUAAAUUUUUCCUACAUUAACAUCCAACGUCAUUCUGCGAAAUUGAGAAUAAUUCUUCUUAAACCACCACCUCAUCCUAUAAAUAUGAAGUUUGAGUUGAUGAUGCUUAAAGUUCAAACUUUGGAACUUAACAUCAACAAUGUAAUUUCAAUUAUACAACUUUUGAAGGGAUUUCAUCUUUUAUUGCUUGAAAUAUUCUCAGUGCCAAUUAUUCUUUCUUAUGGACCAUAAUUCACCAAAUAUCUCUCAGAUAAUCUUUUUAAAUAGUUCAUGGUUCAAAAGUAUUCAAUCACUUUUCGAAUUUUCAGUACCUUCUCUUUAAAAAAAAUUGCACAAAGAAAACAAAUGGAAACAAAUGUUUCUUUCAAUGUUAAAAAUGGCAAAAUUAUGCAUCACUUCCAGAGAAUUAGACCUCUUAAAUAUCCUCAAGGCCAUUUAUGGAGUGGCCAUUUAUGACGAAACAUAUUCAGAACCUUAUUUAUGGAGUGGCCAAGAAUUUUCAUCAAAUCCCUGAGAAAGCACUUUCUGUAGCUAAACCCUAAUAGAUUAACAAUAAUAGGAAAAAAAUAAUAAAUCAUCUAAAAGUAUAGAACAAAAAAGAAAAUACUCAAACUAAUAUAACGAAUAGAAUACAGGGAAAACAAAAAGCAAAAAGUUAAAAAAGACAUUAUUACUUUCAAUUGCCAAUGAAAUUAUCAUAGGUAAAGGUAUUGUUGUUCUAAACAGCAACAGUGAUCUCCCUUAGCCCUUCAAUCAAGGAGAAGACGAAUUUCUCUUGAAAAGUAGGGUUUUUUCCACCGUCUACAUGAGUAAUUAAGUACAGUAGAAUAGAAUAGUUAGGCAACAAAAUGGAGGGUUUUCUUACAAGCUCGAAUAUUAGUAGUAAUUGAAAAAACAAUCAAACAGAGAUAAAAAGAGGAAAUAAUAUGAAUUACAUACCUAUGUGGGUACGGGUACGGAAUUUAGUGUUGGCGUAUUCCAGGCAAAUGUAAGGAUUUUGUCUUGAAAUCCACUCCGUAUCCUUCAAUUUGUUGCGGUCUACAACUACAAAGGUGCAUUCUAGAUUCCCAAAAGAAUUCGUCAGAAAUACCAACAAUGUUCAAAAGAGAACAGGAACAACAAAGUCAUAAUUUGUCUCAUAAAACCUGAUGUUCUCUAUGUUGACAGAAAGAUAGAAGCAAAAUUAGAUAAAUAAGAUUAACGAACUACAUAAGUUUCCAAUUUUUAAGGAAAAUUGUAGAGGGACAAAACUUCUUUCUUCUUGAAACUAAAUCACAAAGAUACUUACAGAACGAAAAGCUUCAAAGUUAAAUAAAGAAAAGCAAAACCCACAAAAAUACAAAAAACAGAACAUAAAAGAUGUUUGCUCCAAGGAAUGAAACUUCAAGCAUCAUUUGCACUUGGUAUGAAAAAUUAUUAUUCUAAUCUUUACAAAUUGUAGCCUCACAUAUGAUCUGAUGCAAAACUCAUUCUUUCCAAAAUUAACUCAUGAUCUAAAUGCAAAACUUGUUACUCUAAAUAUGAUCUGAAUGCAAAACUUACAAAUUGUACAGUACAACAGCAUUAGUAAUGUAACCACAAACUGAUUAGUAAAAGGCAUAAUAGAAGGGAAAAGAAUUUCCAACAACACUGACGAAAAAGCAUCACAAGCCUGAUAACAACUCAAAAAAAAUGAGCAAACACAACACAAGAAAAAGGUACAGUAGCUGCAACACAAAAAAAAAACUGUUAAUGGAAAACAACCACCAAAGAAAUCACAAACCAGUUUCCUAAAAGCAAUGAAAAAAAUGCUUGCACAACAAAAUACAACAACCAUUAGCAUCAAACAAGUUUUUACAAGGGAGGAGAAAAACAUGAAUACAGAGCAAAUUUAAGGUAGGAAGACAAAAUAUGUAUUCCAGCAGGAAAUCCAAGUCAUGGGUAUUUUUUUUUUUUUUUGCCUUUUUUAGGGUGGAAUCCUAGAACUCAAAAAUAACCCAAAUAGCACAUGAAACAAGCAAAAAAAAGCUUAAAAGAAAGGAAAACAAAAAAAUUCUAGGAGGGAAAAAAUGCCAUAAUAGGAAGGAUUUUACUGGGUAAAAAUCCAAAAAAAAAAUUCUAAGGGGUAAAAAUCAAUACAAACAGCCAUGAAACAAGCACAAAGAACAGCUGAGAAGUGCAAAAAACAGCAACACCACAAUAUCUCAAACAUGGAAGGAAAAUAAACAAAAAUAGAGAGAAAAUAACAAAAUAAUGAAGGCAGUACCUUAAUGGAUAGAAGAUGCUUCAGUGCUUGUAGCUCUUUCUCCGACGAAAAUAAUAGUGCAUAAAUUGAAAGCUCCACAGAUCUACACUCUAGUUGCAUUCUAGAUAAAACAAGACAAAACAUCAAUGUAACCAAAGUUUUAAUAGAAAAGAGAGAAAAAAAAAUCACCAAUGAAGGGAAAGUAGCGGAAAAACCAAGGUACUACCUGAAACAAUAGAGAGGAAGCGGCGGUUGAUGCUUCACUUCUAGUUCUAUCUGAGACUGAAAAAUAAAAGUCAAGAAAUCAAAAGUAAUCCACAUUAGUUCUCCAGUUGCAACCAGAAAAACAAGACAAAAAACAGCAGUCUCCGAGCCAAGGAACAGGAAAAAAAAGAUUAGUGGAAAAGACCACCGUGGAGUUACAUACUUUGUGUAUGGCCAACUAUGGUAGCCGCGAUUUCGUUUACCAGGUUUGAAGCUACAAAUAAUUUUUGAAAAGAAAUAUGCAGCUCUCAUGGUAUCAGCCGAUUAAUCGGGCAAAAUAUUUAAAGAAAAAAGAAAAACAAUAAAAAGGUGAAAAUAAUAUUUAUGAAUGAAAUCAAAGAAUGAGAAGGAAAGAAGGAAGAGAGAUAAUAAAGAUUUUGAGAGCAAGAGGCAGAGUGAAAAAUCUGACCAAGGAGCGGCGGAGAGAAGAAAGAGGAGAAUGGAGGAGAAAACAGCUUAAAUCCAUCUACAAUAGGAGAAAAGAAAGAAGAGAGGAAGACGAGAUAGAAAAGAAGAAAAGACAAAUGCAAAAGAAAUAGGGGUGCAAACGAGCCGAGUUCGAGUCGAACUUUGGCUAAUCGAGCCGAGCUCGAAUUAAUUUUAUGAAACUCGAACUCGAGUUCGAACUUGACGAGCUCAAAAUAUCAAGCUCGAGCUCAAGCUCAACUCAAAUUCAAGUCGAGCUCGAGUUUAAAAAAUAAAAAAAAAAUAAUUAUUAUUAUUUUAUUUUUAAAAAAUAAAACAAUAAUUAUUUAUUUUUAAAAAUGAAUAAAAUAAUAAUAUUUUAACAAAUAAUAAAAUAUUAGGGAUAUAUAUGUAAUUUUACUAUUAAAAUAAAAAAUAAAAAAUAAAUAUAUAAUUGAGCUCGCGAGUUUAAUAUUUUUGAACUCGAACUCGAGCUCGAGAAACACCCCUAAGGAGAAAGGAGAAGAGAAAACAAAGUAGAGGAGACGGAGCUUCUGAGAAUGAGCUGAAGCGAAGAGAGAAGGGGAGAAGAGAAAGCGGCAGCAACAGAGGAAAUUUAAGAAAACCCUAGAGAGGAAGUAUAUGCAGACGUCUGGCGCAUCGCGCGGAAAAAAAAAAGGCUGGUGACUCACAUGUGCUGCACGUGAGAGGACGACGAAAACCAUUCCAGGUCAUGAGAGCUCUUCGGCUCUUAUCAACAUAAGUAGAUAAGUAGAUAAAGUGCCAACACCCUUCAGCCAGGAGUUUCGUCGUCCCCUCAUGUGCCGCGCAUGUGGAUUGGCAGCAUUAUGUUCUUCGCGCAUUGCACGCCAGGUUAUCAUCUUCUCCUCUGCCAGCCUCCCAUGUGCCUCCUGCUGCGUUGAUAGACUUCUUUCUCUAUCUGGCAGUAUCACAUGCCUCUUCUUCCCACUGUCUUCUCUCUCUCUCUUUCUUUUGGGCAAUGUUGCUAUGUUGCUUAUCCGGCUGUUCUGAGCCUUGGUGCGAGAGCCUGUUGAGCUUACCGGUUCUCUUCUAACCACACAGGUAUCAGUGAGCCUCGGUCUCUCGUGUUCUCUGGGUUGCAGUGGUCCAGGCAUUUGGCUCUCCUCCUCUUCCUCCGUUGUGAGUUUUCUUCUUCUUCCUUUUCUUCCUUUCCGGUGAGGUACAAUUUUUGCCAUUAGCUUUCUGCGUGAAUCUUUAGCCUGGAAGUGAUGUUUUUGUUCUUUACUCCCCUUCUCCUGCCACGCAAGGACCAUCGAACCUCUGUCCCUAGCGUUCCCUGGGUCUCAGUCGUCCAGAUCAGCUGCGGUGCGUUCGAUUCUCUUCCUUCUCCUCCGUUGUACGUUUCCUUGUUCUUCCUUUACGUUGAGGUGCGGUCUUCGUUGUUAGCUUCCCUUGUAAGUUUUUUUUUUUCCUUUAUUUCCCUUUUCAAGCGGCUCCUAUUUUGCUCUCGGGAAAGGUUCGAUCUUGCCAUCCGUUUGGAUCGUGCUUCGUUGUGGCUCUCUCUGCAUUUUUUAGCCUAGAGUUGCUAUUUUCCCUCAAAUCAGAGGCGUCUGUUCUCCGUCACAAGCUCACCGAGAAGGAUGCCAUCAUCGCCGACCUUCAGUCCUAGCUUUAGUCCCUCGAUGCCUCCCUUUCCGACGCUUCCGAAAAACUCACCCUCGCUAACCAAGAAAAGGUCCGAUUCUUAUAACCAACCCGACCCACUUGAACCGUUUUACUUCUCCAAUUACUACUUAUAAGUUAGAGCUAAAGUUUUCUUCUUCUUCUUCUUCAUCGUUUUAAUUAAUUGAACAGGGGAAAUUGUUGAAGGAGAAUGAGACGCUAUCGAACACUGUGAAAAAGCUUAACCGUGAUGUUGCUAAGGCAAGUGGCAGUAUAUAAUGGUAAAUUUUAGUUUCCCCCCCCCUUUGGGGUAAGCUUAUUGCGUGGUAAAAUUUUGUGGGGAUUGAUUACUUUUACUUGAUUUUAGUUUAUGUAGUUCUUUUCUACAGCUAAAGUUUGUCAUUUUAAUUUUAAUUUGGUCAUAUGGAAUGUAUACUAUUAUUAUUUUUGGGUCUGAAUUUACAGUUUUCAGCUGCUCUUGACUUAUGAUUUUGAUUUUGUUCCUUUAUUAUGCUCACAUUAUUACAAUUCGAUUACUAAUACGUGACCUUAAUGAAAAAGAAUAUAAAACAAUGUUAGCAAUGUGAUUAAUUACAAGAGGUUAGGAGUUUGUGGGUCGAAACCGAGAUAAUUUUGUUAUUUACGAACUUAAUGGAAGAGAAGAUUUUCAUAUGACUGCUUGUAGAGUCGGUAGAUCCAUUGAGCUAAUAAAUCACGCCAUUUUUUUUUGGGUUGCAAAUGAUUACCCAAAAUUUAUCAUUAUUUAAAAGAGAAAUAUAGUUCAAAAUAAAAAAGGUAAAAGAUCCUAGGAGCGGGUAUUCCCACUUCAUAUCAAAUUAAAAUUGGCCUUGAUUCUAAUCUAGAACGUUGUUAAUUAAUCUGCUGUUUCGCUUGUGUUAUUGGAAAUCUCUAUGGCUUUGGCGUCCAAAAAAAUGGGACUCUUAUUAUCUUUUAAAGGCUUUUCUGUGUCUUUGUCUCCCUUGUUCGCAUCUGCUGUUUGAUGCUCUGGACUCUUGCGCGUCUGUAACGCUUAGGCUGCAUUUGUGCUGUUUUAGGGCUUAGCAUUUGAUGCAGAGUUUGGUGUUGUAAUGUUCACAUGGUAGGCUGCUUUUCUAAAAUACAUUUUUCUUGACGCUUAAUUUUUUUUUUAAUUUUUUUCAAUACAAUAUAGCCGUCAUCUUGCAGUAUCUUAUUCUUUGUUACAAUAUCUUUACUUUGCUAUGUGAUUUUUUCGAUAAGCGCGGGUAUCAUUAUGCAUAGGUUAUUAUAUAUUUGGAGAUACUCAGACAACAUAUAUCUACUUAAUCUUCUUAUUACAAUCAAAGUGGAUGGUUGCACGAUUAGUAAUUAGUAUGUUACUAUAUUGAGUGAAAAUUUUGAGCUUUUCCAUGUAUGUUGUUUAUCAUAUCCUUGAGCUUUCUUCCAUACAGGAAUUGCUUUGCGUAUCAUCUACUUGUCUGUGGCUGAUGAGGCUGUCAGUUUGAUAAUCAACUUGUAUUGAUUCUUUUCUUUCUUGCAGGUCAUAAAUUUUGAGAUGCCUCAAAGUGCUGCGGGAUAUGUACAUCGAAUUGGCCAUACUGGAAGAGCGUAUAACACUGGUGCAUCUGUCUCUCUGGUAAUUUUCUAAAGACUAAAUUGGAAUUACUUUUGUAAUUGAAUUUAUACCCUGACUUCCAGAUUGAAUUUGGUUGAUCUUCAUUUUUUUGCAAGCAGAACUGAUGAACAGUAGGAUUGCUUGAAUAUUGACUAGAAUCUUCGGUAAAUCAUUGGCUCAUAUAUAUCCAUGUUGUAGAAGUUCUGUCAUCCUUCGCAAUCAUGGUUUUGGUUUUCAGUUUUUUCUUUGUGUUUAUUGCAUACUGAAAUAAGCCUUUUGUUUUUUUAUAUCGAAUAUUGGAUUGUGCUAUAGGUUUUGCCCCUAUUUUUUGCUGUUCUUUUUUAUAUCAGAAUUCCUAAUAUAUGUUAGCACAUGAAUAAUGUCUCCCCUAAUAUGAUUAAAUUGAUUAUGGUAAUGCAUUUGAAAUUAUUGUGAUCAUUUUCUUAUAUGUUUCUUAUCUCCCUCUUGCUUGAUCUUGAGUAGGUGUCCCCUGAGGAGAAUGACAUGUUUAAAGAUAUUAAACCCAUCAUCGGUGAAAGUGAUAACAUGGACUCCAAUUUUAUAGCUCCAUUUCCAUUGCUCACUAAGAAUGCUGUGGAGGGCUUGAGAUAUAGAGUUGAGGUAAAUAUUGCCUUCCUUUAUUGCAUAGUAAGUUGUAACUUUUUGAACUUAUUAUGCGUUAAGCAUCUCUUUAUGCUUACGUUGCUUCUGUGGUUCUUAAAAAAACCCUAUGGCGUCUACCUCGAGAUAUUGAAGUUGUUUUGUGCUGUGUUGCUGUUUUGCUCUGUGCCUUUUAGUCUAGAGUUGCUAUGUUGCUAUUUAUAUGUACCGCUUCAGUUAGAGCUUUGUUAUGUAUUAUUUUUUUGUUUUGACUCUAAAAAUUAUAUAUUAAUUGCCUUUUGUAGUUAAGCCACAUCACCUAAUUGCCUUAUCUGUUGCCAGCAUAAAAAUUUUUUUAAAACCGAAUUUGAAUGCUUACUGUUGCAUUAUCAACUUUUCAAUUCUGUUACACAUUUGGGCUAUACUUUGUCAGUGUUGCAGGGUGUUAGCCUAAACCUCCGGGUUGCUGAUGCUCUUGAUGGAAAGGAAUUGUUGUGCUAUGUUAUACGUGCUCCUGAUUUAUUAGAGUAACUGGAAUUAGGUUUAAGAUUGUUACGGCUUAUUGGGUUGGAGAAGCUGCAUCUGUGGCCGUGUAAAAUGUGCCUUUCCUGAUGUGACAUGCCUCUUUCUGGCAUCAUCUCUACCUUAGAAGUUGCCGAAUUAGUAUUUUCUCUGAAGUAUAUAUUUCCCAUGCUUUCCUUCAAAUAUGUUUUUAUUCUCAGGUUUUUGCUUCAUCAUUAUUUUUACUUUCUGUGGUGAUGAUUCAUGAUUUCAAGCAUGAAUUAGUCAUGAUUUACCUGUAAUUUAUGCACAUACAAUUCAAUAAGGAUUUCAAAGGUUAUGUGGCUAUGAAUGAGCAUUUAGCUGAAGUUUGCCUAUUUUGAUUGUGGAACGGAUUGUCCGUGUAAUUUAUUUACCUUACUUUUACUCAACAGAAAGAACUUGCUCAACUUACUUGUGAAUGUGAAAGACAUAUUGGCACACAAUCUGGCGGAAUGGAACAGGUAAUGAUUUUCUGCUCUUUCCUUGCUUGUUUCUUGAAGUUCUGAAGUAGCCUCUGCAAGAUUUCUGCAGAAGCAUAAUAUUGUUUUGGGUUAAAAAUAUAAAAACCCCCUAUGGUACAGCUAUUACACAUAAAAAUCCCUCGUGGUUUCAAAUCAUACCUAUCGAUACCCCAUGGUUUGAAAGAAAGUGCAUUUUCGACGAAAAUCAUUAAUGAAAACGCGAUUAUCAUCCACGCACUGAAAAGGAGCGUGGUUGCUUCGGAAAAUGGUUUUUUAACUCAAAGUUUGAGCUGAUAUUCCUCUUGUGCCCUUGACAACUUAUUAAAACUGCAAGCCAAUCAGCUUCUUCGGACUUUGGAGAAGUCUAGCUUCCUUGAUAGAAGGUUUCUUCAAGCUCUCGUGCCUCAGGAGGAAAAUAUGCAGGCUUGUGCCUCCUUAAGUGCAAGUUUCAAAAGGUAAAACCUUUAACCAUUUGGAAUAUCAAUAAAUUCUUAUAAUGAACUCUAUAUUUUUCUUUGUGUAAAUAGUGAAGGGAAUAAUUAAGAAACCGUACGAUGAUGUCUUCCUCAAGCUCUCGACCAGGCAGUGGGAGAAACGGAGCUAGAGAUCUUCGAUACGAGUACAAGAUGUGUAAUUGUCGAAAGAAGGCGAAACUAAAGAUUGUUGAGUCGGAAAAGCCAUCAAAGGGAAUGUUAUAUUUUGUGUGUGAAAAAGAUGAAUGUAGGUUCUUUUCUUGGUGUAAUCCCAUUUACAGAGAUGAACCAGAUCGGAAAAAUCAAUUUGUGAGCCAACCUGUUGCAAAACAUUCCUAUGUGAAUGGCGUGCUCUCAAAACUGGAAAAUUUGGAUAAUGAGUUGAAGAACUUAAAAUUGCUAGUUAGAGGUUGUGUUAUGGUAUCUGCUUUUUCUGUUUUACUGUUGUUGAUAUCUACCAAAUAAGACUGUGGAAUUUGGUAGCCAGUUGUAUGGAGUUGCUAAAGCUGAUCAUUUGGCUGUUUCAGCUAGAACCUUAUAAUGCUAUGCUUUCUUGAUGAAGUAUAAUUCGACUGUUUCAACUGCUUUCAAAAUGUUGUAGCUUAAAACUUUGAAUAGAAUACUCAUAAGCAGCAAAUGUUUUAAAAAAUGAACAGAAAAAAAUAAAACAGGCACAAAGUGCCAUUACAGACAAAAGAUUUCCAGAUGUUCAAUAACCUGUAAAAUAACUAGUGAUCAAAGAGGCACGAAGUGCCAUUACAGACAAAAGGUUUAGCACUUGGUGGAAAAUUUCUGUAAAAUAACCUGGCUGCAUAGAGAAUUUCAUUCAAAAGGUACAACCAAAUAGUGGCAACUACUACCAAGUCAAGUGUACAAAAAAUUAGACAAAAUAUUUCCAGACGUUCUACAGGCAACCAAUCAUUCUGCAGGCAUCAUUACAACCAGACGUAAUAUUCCAAAAUGAAAGUGUAAAUACAGAUAGGCAAAUAUUAGGCAAGUAAUUAAGGCUGGACAGCUUUUGCUCUCUUUGGCCUUAACUUCUGCAGGACAUCAGUAACAGUACGAGCCAGAGCUCUUUUUGUUGGUGCAGUGGUGUCAUCAGCCCUAUUACACCCUUGGUUUGUACCAGCUACAGACUGAAAUUAAAACAAAAAGAUAAUUUAGAAAUGUCCCACUGAACUGAUAAGUCUUUCAACCAGUGAAUGUUAUGGAAGGAGUGUACACCUUCCGAGCCUUAUUGCUUGUCUUUGUAGUAGUCCCGGUUGCAGCAGCCUCUUCAGUAAAUGACUGUGGUUUAGUAGAUGACUCAACAAUUGGUUGUGACUGAAUGGAAGGUGUAACACUUGCUUCAGGUGCCUACAAAGAGCAUUUAACAUUAGUAAUAAUAAAUACAAAUGCUGUAACAAUGCCAUUUAAAUGUACAAUGAAAGAUUACCUUGUAAAAUUUGGAGUUAGGGUGAAUGGGAUUCUUGCACGUCCGUGAGUUAUGAUUUGGCUGAAAACACCUCUUGCAAUGCACAGAUAGACCCUUUCUAGUUGAUAUUUGCUCCUUCUUAGGCUCAUCUUGUGCGCUUUGAUGCAUUAAAACAAAAAGAUAAAUUAGAAAUGUCCCACUAAACUGAUAAGUCUACAGACUGAAAUUAAAACAAAAAGAUAAUUUAGAAAUGUCCCACUGAACUGAUAAGUCUUUCAUCCAGUGAAUGUUAUGGAAAGAGUGUACACCUUCCGAGCCUUAUUGCUUGUCUUUGUAGUAGUCCCGGUUGCAGCAGCCUCUUCAGUAAAUAACUGUGGUUCAAUAGAUGACUCAACAAUUGGCUGUGACUGAAUGGAAGCUGUAACACUUGCUUCAAGUGCCUACAAAGAGCAUUUAACAUUAGUAAUAAUAAAUAUAAAUGCUGUAACAAUGCCAUUUAAGUGUACAAUGAAAGAUUACCUUGUAAAAUUUGGAGUUAGGGUGAAUGGGAUUCUUGCACGUCCGUGAGUUAUGAUUUGCCUGAAAACACCUCUUGCAAUGCCCAGAUAGACCCUUUCUAGUUGAUAUUUGCCCCUUCUUAGGCUCAUCUUGUGCUCUUUGACGCAUCUUCUUUGGUCUGCCAAGCAUUCUCCUAACUACAGUGGGGUUUAAGCCCUCUUGUUCACAUGUUAUCCAGCAGGUAUCACUUGGAACAGGUGUGAUAGUGUGUGCAUAUGUCUUCAGAUAUUCUACUCUAGUGUAGCAAGCAUGAACAUAAUCGUUUAUAGGUAAUCUACACACUCUUAUUACAGCACAUGCAUGGGCACAAGAAUAACCUGUUAGUUGAAAAUAACUACAGGUACAAGUCCAUUCAUGCAAAUCAACCACCACACAUUUUCUCGGACCACAAUCUAUCUCAUAUUUGUGAUGUCCGUCCCAUGUCGCAACAAAUGUCCAGUUCAACCUUUGAUUCUUAUCAAUCUUUUCUGCUGUAUUUGGACAGAUUUGUCCAUGAAACUUUUGCAUUCUAGAUCUUUUUGUUUGAAUUCUAUGCAUCAACUUCCUCCUUAUCCAUUCAAGCAUCCAAAUGAUUGGUAACCCUCUUGCUUCUAAUAUAUAAUUGUUGAAUGACUCAUUUAGGUUGUUCACUAGAAUGUCACACUUACUACUUCCUCUAAAAUGUGAUCUACUCCACAGAGUUGGUGGAAUCCGGUUCAGCCAUUCAGCAACUUCUUUAUUUGCCUUUUCCAAGUCAUUCAUUGCCAACACUUGCAGCAGCCCAGAACAUGUCUUUCAUUUCCUUUCCUUUGAACUUUUGGUUGAAAUUUUGAUACAUAUGUCUCAAGCAAAAUCUAUGUUCCGAAUCAGGAAAAAGUUCAUUCACAGCAUGUACUAGCCCUUUCUGUCUAUCUGAGAUAAAUGUCCAAGGAAUGUUAUCCUUUCCCAUGCCCAAAUCAGCCAUUAACAACUCCAAAAACUAUUUCCAGGAGUCAUACCUCUCUACCUCAACCACUGCAACUGCUACUGGCACCAUGUUGUCGUUGCCAUCUCUCCCAAGUGCAGACAGUAAUUGGCCACCAAAUGUUGUCUUAAGAAAACAGCCAUCUAGACCAAUUAUUGGUCUACAACCAUCAAGAAAACCCUGCUUGCAUGCAUGCAAGCAAUAAUAUAAUCUUUCAAAUGUCCCAUUUGAACCUUCAGUUGGUCUGUCCAUCUGAAUCUUGAUAGUAUUUCCAGGAUUUGUGUCUCGGACUGUCGCUGCAUAACUCCAAAGUUUCUGAUACUGCUCCAUGUCCGUGCCAAGUAUCAGAUCAUUUGCCUUACGCUUAGCUCUGCCGACCUUAGCAAUUGAAACAUUGAUCAUUAAGUCUCUCCUGAUGUUAUUCUUCAGCCCUAUCAAAUCACCUCUUGGAUUAUCCCUGAUCUUAUCUUGAUACUUGAUGCUCAAAUAUGCAGCUGUUGCAUGCUUAUUUUUAUACUCUCGAGCACACACAUGCUCACCCUUGAAUGACUUUAUUUGAAAGGUUGAUUCAUAUUGAAUUGGUGUUGCACGAAUCCUCCAUGUACAGCCUUUUGCAAAGUUGGUAAUAAUUUUCUUGGAGUAGUUUUUCACCCAAGUAACUUCAUAUCCUUUUCUGACUAGCCAUUCACGCAACACAAAUCUGAACACUCUAAAAUUAGUAAACUUCUACCCCACUUUCAGCUCAAAGUUUGGCUUCUUAAACUCAACUUUAAGAUUAAAGUCAAGGCAAUCAUCAUCUUCUCUACCAUCAUAUCUUCUUGCAUCCAGCAACUCCUCAUCCAAAAUCACUGGUUCCUGCCAAUUCUCUUCAAUGACAUCAUCAUUCACUUGAUGUUCUAUGUCUGCUCUCAAAUCUGGAUCUCCAACUAUUGAAGGGUCUUUUUCAGUUCUAACAGCUUCAUUUUCUGAUGGAAUUUGUAAUGGUAUUUGAGUUGAAAUAGUUGGUGGAAUUUUCUGAAUCACAUCAAGCCCUUUUGAUUGCUUGGUUUUACUUGUCUUUUUCUUCCUUGCAUCCACACUUUUAGCAGCACUUUUUUCAUCUUUAUUCUCAGUAAAUGAGAAUACGUGCAGAGGGAGUCUUGCUGAAAUAGUGGCCCCAUCAGCUUUGUCCUUGUCUCCAUCAGCUUUUUGGUUGUUGCCUCCACUAGUUAUAUUGGUCUGGUUGUUGUCUCCUGCGGCAUCUUUCUUGGGUGCAAAUAUGUCCUCAUCUUCUAUUGUUUCCAACCCCUCUUUUAAUCAUGCUGGCUCUUUAUCAUCAUCAGUACUUGUAUCUGUCCCUGUAGUAACUACAGUUACCCCACCAUCCUUUGUAUCACUGCCUUUCUUUUUUAUUGUUGUGUCGCUGGAUGUUUCCUUUGUAGAUGUACCAUCAUUGACCCCACCAUCUUCAGGCUCUUUUUCAAAUGGCCCAUCCCCACUGCAAGCAUAAAUUAGUCUUUCUGGUGUCCCCUCAUAUGCCAAAUUCAUCAAUUUAAUAUCAUCAUUGUUUUUAAUUGGAUGUAGGCCACCAUCCAAAUCAACAAAGGGGGCACAAAACCAAAAUGUUGCUCUCGUUGCUCCUUCAUCUACUUUCUUAAACAUUCUGCACAAACUCACUAUGUCUACCUUAUCUUCAACUCUUUCUUUGAAAAUGGCCAUGUGGGUUCCCGUGUAGUGAAGCCUUGGUUUUUCUUUGAAUUUUCCACCAAAGUACAUCUUUAUAUCUACUUUAUCCUUGUUGUUCUCCUCUGUUAUUGCAUGACAAACAAUAAAGUACUCAUUUUUCAGUAAUUUAUCUUUCACAAUUAUACAAAAGCUAACAUAAUACAACAGAUCCAGAACAAAUAAUUCAUUAUACAUGAGAUGGGGGACCACAUUUGACUACAACAUGUUUUCAUUAACUCCUGAAAACUGAUAACAAUACAAAUUUGGACAGAUUCAGUCUUUUGCCAACUACUCUAAUUCGAUAAUACAACAGAUUCCAAGACGAACAACUUAGUUGACUGAGAUUCAAAGACAAUCACAUAUUCAGAUUCAGCAACUAAGAAUCUCCGCUAACAACUCCAGAUUAUAAGGCUUUUCUUUUUCGUAGUCAACCAAACACAAUAUCCUAACAAAUUUGCCAAUUGAUAAUCAAAAUAGCAAAUGUAGGGCAUACUUCAAAAACCUUAAAUUCAUUAACAACAUUAAUAUAUAUAUCAAAAAUCUUAUUUUUGUUAAAUAAUGACCUUAAAAUGUAGUAUGAAACCAGUAAAUCACAAUAAAAAUCCCAAACUACCCCAAACCCCAAAUCGAAAUAGAUGAGGGACGGCAUACAAACCCAUUUUUCUUCGAUUUUUUCAGCAAAUCUUCACUUCCUUGUAGUUCCUGUCGCUGUCGGAGUUUGAUUGCUAUAACAAUCGGGAAUUUGGCUGAUACUUGCCUCUCUCUCUCUCUCUAGGGCUUUUUCUUCUUCUUUGUUUCUCUCUUCAAUCGUUCUGUCUCUUCGUUUGCUCCGAAACAGCCAAACUGACUAAUUCCUUCACCAAUUUUUCGCUUAUAUCGUUAGGGCAUUUAUGUCUUUUCACUGACCUCCAUUUUCAUUAACGAUUUCCGUCGAAAAUGCACUUUCUUUCAAAUCAUGGGGUACCGAUAGGUAUGAUUUGAAACCACGAGGGGUUUUUAUGUGUAAUAGCUAUAUCACAGGGGGCUUUUAUGUUUUUAACCCUAUUUUUUUCCUUUUUUUUGGAUUUACCCUUGACCUUUGCUUCUCGUGUUUUGUCCUUGUGUUUUGAUCGUUUAUGACUUCUUUGCGCAUUUUUUUUACAAGUUUUUUGCUGCAAUGGCUCUUGAAUUGACUUGCUUGGUGAAAAUUUUUGUGUUACAUUUUAUGUCCCUAUAAUUUAGUUCUAUCCAUUUGUGAUAUUUCUUUAUGUCUGUUUUCUUGACCUGAUUGCCAGAUUCGUUUUUCAUUAUUAUUCGUCUUCAUUCCAAUGGGAGCUCGCUGCUCUAAAUUAGGCUUUUGCUGGUGGCCUUCUAACCUCAAAUCCAACAUCGCUUAUUCCUCUGAUUUUGGUAAUUCUUAAAACUAUGUUAAAUGUAUAAAAAUGUAAUAUUUGUUUCCCUUUUCUAAUUUUUUUCUUCUGGGGUUUUAGAGCAACGUGGAGAAAAUGAGAGUAUGAAACUACCAUCACUUAAAGAAUGCAGUUUAGAUGAGCUGAAGAUGGCGACUACAGGAUUCUCAGUUGAAUACAUUGUAUCAGAACAUGGGGAUAAAGCUCUCAAUGUUUGUCUACAAAGGGCAGCUUGAAAAUGACGGCUCUUAGAUUGCUGUCAAACAUUUCAAUAAGUUUGCUUGGCUAGAUUCUCGGCAAUUCCUGGUUGUUAUUACUUCUUUUAAGCAAGGCCCCAACUAUAGUGUUUCACAAAUGUGAUACUAUCUUAUUUAUGUACGCGCUUUGAUAUAGCCAUAGUACUUAGUUAACCAUGAGUAUGGUGGAUGUUAUUCAGAUUUAAGAUUUGUUGUAUGCAAUUUGUAGGUUGAUAAGUGAGGAAACUUAUUGUAGGUUGAUAUGAAUUAAAACAUUGAUUAUACGGUUGUUAUACCUUUGUUUAAGGUCAAAUGGGAUGAAGUAUUUUGUUUCUAUCAAUAAUAUAAAGUCGAUUUCAUUUAUUUUCUUACUCACUUUGGCCCUUACUGUUUUGCAUUUUCUUGCUUACAGCUCUAUUAACUCUCCUCCUUCACUUUUCCUUUUUUUUUCUAAUUUUGAGAAUGAUCUGAGAGCAUGGAAAGAUAGUAAAAUAUAACCCCUAAUGAUGCUUAUAAGUUUUAAGUAGCUACAUUAUUAGGAAAUUAAUUGAACUCGUAAUUAAAUCAUAAUGCAACCUAACCUUGAAAUAGCAAGGGUAGAUGACAACUUAGACAGAGUAUUAUAAUAUUUUGAUUCUUUAAUGAGAAUGAUACUUACUAUUUUUUAUAUGAUUACACACUUAAAUGAAAGUUUACUCUAAUUUUGGUUUAAUAUUUUUUUUGGUUUAUUUGUAACUAAUUCCAUCAAGAAAAACAAAUUUCAUUAAUGAUCCAUUUUGAAUUAGUACAAAUUAUUUUAUUAAAUUGGGCAUCUCCAUCCUUUUUCCCACCGUGCGUAGCACGCUUUAUCCCUCCUAGUUCUAUAUAUGUUGAUAAAGGAAAAAAAAUGAUGUAAAAUAACAAAGCAACGUAAAAGACCGAUGUGGAUCCGUAGGGGGAUCCGCGUGUGUCGAGUCGCGGAUCCAAGCCUCCUUCCCAAGAUCCAUAUUGGUCCAAAAAUCAUCAGACACCCAUUCUACAUCAAUUUCUUAUAAGCUCCAUUCAGUUUUAAUUAGGUGUUCCGGCCAUUGAGAACAAGAGGCUAGAACGGUUAUCAGGAAAACUGUUCGGGAUGAUUUUGUGUAUAAUGCAUACGACGUAACUUUAUUUGUACACAAUAUAACUUACUUUCAAUAACGUGUAAUUAUAGAAUAAAAUUUUAUAGGUCCCACACAUAGUGUAAAAAACGAGAUACAAAAUGAAAUCUGAAUCUUGCACUUUUUUUGGCCAAAUUUUGGCCAUGAACUGCCAGGAAAGGACUGCCCCUCUUGCAGCCAUUGAUGUUUCGAUGACGAUUUGGAUUGCUGUAGAUCUGGACUGAUGAUGAACCGAAGAUGGUGACACAAAGUAUUGUAUAUGUACAGACCAUCAGACAAAGGGAACACAUUGAAAAGCAAUUAUCGCAAUUAAACCAGUUAGUAUUUUUCUUGCUAUCAGUUAAUUAAUUUCCAAUUAACAAGCCACUGUGCAUCUAUUCUAGGUCAUUUCCUACUGCUCAUGCCUCUGAAACUUGACUCUGUUAAAGUUCUUCCACCUGAAUGGCCAUUUUCGUAGCCGUGUUCAUUUGACUAACAUGAAUGAUUGUGAGCCAUUUUCAAGACUAUUUUGUGUAUUAAGUCCAACAUGUCCAUUUUAGAAUUCAAUUAGGAUACUAUUAGGAGAUGACUACUAUUUUGAGGAGCUAGAUAACUAACUAAUAGAAUUAAUUCACAACGUAGCAGGCAAUCCUUCUGGAAACUGAGGGGGCAUAGACAAUCUUUGGGGAUAGAGGAUUUGAAACCCUAGAAUUGUAUUUCUUUUUUUUUUUGUCCUAAAAAUUGGAUAACUGAACUUUUGUUUAAGUGGAUAUAAUCAACCAAACCAACUGUUUAAGGUCCCGUUGGGAUUACAAUGACUUAUAAAGAAACACUAUUGAUACAAGUACUUUUAACCAAACAAAGUACUUUUAAAUUAUCAAAAAUGGAUUCAUUAAAUUAUGGGAAAUUGAUUAUCAAAUACCCUAGAAUUAUUUUUAAUACUUAAAAGUGUUGUUUUUAUUAUAAAUACACCACAACUCUAAACGAGGCUAAAUCAGAAUUGACAUGAAAAGAAUAUGGUAUUGCUGUCGGAUAGCUAUCUCCACAUUGAAUAGUUUCUUUUAAAAAAAAAUUUCUGAACAUUGAAUUCAGCUUUCGGGCUUAACCUGUCAUGGAAUAGAUUUACACACCGUGACAAUCGUAUAUCUUGCUGCUACGAGCCAUACAUAAUGCUCUUAGUGGCAAGAACUGCCAUCGUGGCAAAAUGAUUGGUGGGUGUAAAAUCUUUUUGUUUUUCCUUCUUUCUUUCUUGCAUCUUUUUAUGAUACUUGAGCCAUUAAUUGUUUUUCUUUUUGUUUUUUUCAUUCCAGAUCUGCCAACUUGCCCUUAAGGAUCAAUGAAAUUUAGGAGUACAAGUUGACCAAGUCACUUGAUUUGAACUCAACGUUCAUCAAGCAGGAGUCAAUUUUGAGCUUACUUGUUUGUCUACAAGUCAAUUUCGAGUCAUGAAAUGUUAAACUCUUGUAUGUAUGUUUGUAUGUUUCAAAUAUCAAUUAAAUCUCCUGUUUGAAACUUAUGGAAUAUUAAUUUAUCUUAUGUAAGAUUGAUUAGGCUUGAGAUCUUGGCUCGAGCUUGAGUAUGAUAAAAUGAAGUCAAGUUCAACUUUUAAAAGCUCGCUAGAGCUCAACAAGCUCGAGCUUAGAUAUUUUAUCUCGAGCUCAAUUUAACUCAAAUGCAUCUUGUCGUAAUAUGAUUUCUUAAAAUAAAAAACCAUACUAAGUUCCAACAACAUAAAUGAUUCAGCUAAGGAAUCAAAUCAAUUUCAAACUUAUUAAUAUUGGACUUUGGUAAAAUUAAUACAAAACUAAUAUAGCUUGAAAAAUUUAAAGAGUUUUGUCAUUUGUGCAUGUACAAUGAAGAUCGAAGAGAUGAACACGGAGCCACAACCUGAUGUAGAAUUUGGGUAAAUUAUCUUUUAAACAAUUAGCUUGUGGUGUAUUGUGAUUUCAUUAGCACGAAGGUUUUAGUGAUUGCAAAAGAUUGCAGUCAAUGUAUAGUUAAUGUCUUCCUCUUGUUACUUAUUGCACGUUUGUUGAUUUUAUACAUCAAAAUUUGUUAAUUGUUCUGCACUUGUUCUUCGAAUCCCAAAUAGAUUCUCAAGAUUUCAUUUUCAUUGGUUUCUUACCCUAGUUAUUUUUUUCCUUGAAUUGAAGGUCAAGUUCUAGAACCAAAGAUCCUUCCACAGUAUUAGGGUUGUUUCUGUUAUGGACCAGAAACCAGAGGAACCAGAAUUUGCGUGAAGCAGAAUAAAUCAAGCUUAAUGAGAUGGGAUCAAUCAACAAUGAAUCAAUGAAAUAGUGAACGAAUGAACUUCAGCUUUCAUUAAUUGAAUUCUGGUAACGUAUUACAAGAACAGAGAUAAUGGAUUUAGCUAAGAAGGUGGAAGAAUUUGAAGGAAAAAUUGAGAGGGAAAAUGAGGAUUGCUCCUCACGUCAAUACAGCAAAUCUGAAUUCAAAACUCUAAGUCUGAGCUCCAUGAAGCAGACAUGCCUGCUUAUAAAGCUAUUAAUUUCUAACAAACUAUUAACUAUGCUAAUAAGAAUCGAACACGUGUCCCAACUACAGCUACAAUUUGCUUCAAGUUGCUGCGUCUCUGGGCUUUUUGUUAGAACGGAUGAAACCCCAGCAAAGGCGUGGUUUGGUAGACGCGCUUUUUCUGGAACUCCUCCUUUUGAUCACGCCUUCCGUUACUGGAUUCCACGCUUCCAGCUUUCUUACUUCCUAUUGCAUACUUCUGAUGUCAUUCCAAUUCCCGCGCUUCAUUACAAUGCCUUCCCCUCCUAAGACCCUUUUUCUCAAGGUCGGAAUUGAGGAAAUUUCUCCCUUAUCUGCUCAGCAUCUUCCCAAGUUGCUUCUGCAGGUUCAGUGCCCCACCACUGAAUAAGCCAUUGAGUAGAGGCUGCAUUCCUUCUCUUGAUCAUCCUCCUGCAUAGUAGUGCCACAGGUUCCACUCUAAUCUGCCCUCUCUCAUCAACGUCUGGUAAUUGUAGUGUAGGAGUGGUCUGGUCCCGUAGCUUCUUCUUUAACAAAGACACGUGAAACACAGGAUGAAUCCUUGAUGUGGCAGGGAGUUUGAGCCUGUAUGCCACCUUCCCAAUCCUCCCCUCUAUACAGUAGGGCCCAAAGUACUUAGCUGAUAGUUUGGUGUUGUUUCUGAUCAUCACAGAUGAUUGUCUGUAGGGCUGUAACCUCAGGUAUACCCAGUCCCUUACCUGGAACUCCCUUUCACUUCUGUGUUCAUCAGCAUAUUUCUUCAUUCUUUCCUGAGCGACCUUCAGGUUGUGCUGCAGAAGUUAAUCCAUUUUUUUCCUGUCCCUCACCUAAUCCUCUACUGUUGCUACCUUAGUUUGCAUAUAUGGUCCAAGAGCUAGCUGGGGAGGUUUGGUCCCGUACAAAGCUUCAAAGGGGCUCAUUUGUAUAGCAGUGUGGAAGGUGGUGUUAUACCACCAUUCAGCCAAAGAUAACCAGGAGUUCCAUUUCUUAGGCUCUAGAUGAGCCAUACACCUGAGAUACAUUUCUAGUACUUGGUUUACCCUUUCUGUUUGCCCAUCUGUUUGAGGAUGGUAAGCUGUGCUAAGGCUCAAUCCUGUUCCUAACAGAGUGAAUAGUUCAGUCCAGAAUUGGCUGACAAAAACCUUGUCCCUGUCUGAGAUCAUACUCUGUGGAAUGCCAUGCAAUUUACUAACAUGAUCCAGGAAAACUCUAGCUACUUUAGGAGCAUCAAAAGGGUGAGACAAGCUCAUGAAAUGAGCAUACUUAGUAAACCUGUCCACCACAACCAGGAUGGUGUCUUUCCUCUCUGACUGGGGCAGUCCCUCUAUGAAAUCCAUGGUGACAUGGCUCCAAGAGUGCUGAGAGAUAGGGAGUGGUUGGAGCAAACUUGGGUAGGCCACACGUUCAUCCUUGCAUUUCCUGCAUGUAUCACACUGUAGUAUAGCUGUCUUGAUCUCCUUGAACAUGCCUAGCCAGUGGAAUAGCUGCUUAGCUCUUAUCUAGCUAGCCUGUAUGCCUGAGUGCCCCCCCAGCUGAGAGUCAUGAAGGGCAGUGAUAAGUUUCUUCCUUAUUUCUCCCUCCUUCCCCACUACAACUCUUCCCUUAUACCUUAAAAUUCCACUCUGAUAGCUGAAAUCUGAGUCUGGUUCUGGACAUGCCAGGGCUCCCCUGAUGAGAUCUUGAACCCAGUUAUCGCCCACAUAACUUUCUAUUACCUCCUUCAUCCAUUCUGGUAUGACUGUGGUAGUUGCUACACACUCAGCUUCUUCUUUCCCCAACCUGGAAAGUGCAUCAGCCACUACAUUUUCUUUUCCUCUCUUAUAGCAUAUCUCAUAACUCAAUCCCAUCAGUUUAGUCAGCCACUUCUGUUGGAGGGGAGUAGUAAUCCUUUGUUCCAACAGAUACUUCAAGCUUUGGUGAUCAGUGUUGAUGAUGAAAUGGUGCCCCUCCAAGUAGUGCCUCCACUUGGUGACUGUUGUGACUAAGGCCAACAAUUCUUUCUCAUAAAUGGAUAAUCCCAAGUUCCUUUGUCCCAGACUCUGACUGAGAAAAGCCAAUGGUCUUCGAUUCUGCAUCAGAACAGCUCCUAUACCUCCAUAGCAAGCAUCUGUUUCGAUCACAAAGGGUUGGAAGAAGUCUGGGAGAGCCAGGACAGGAGUGUUACACAUGGCUAACUUCAGCUUCUGGAAAGCAUCUUCAGCCUCCUCUCCCCAUUGGUAACCAUCUUUCUUGAGAAAGGUAGUCAAUGGCUUGGCAAUAGCACCAUAUCCCUUGACAAAUUUCCUGUAGUAACCAGUCAAACCCAAAAAUCCCUUCAGUUGCUUGGUGUUACCUGGUUUUGGCCAUUGCAUCAUACUGUCUAUCUUCUUAGGAUCAGCCUUUACUCCCUCUACUGAAAUAAUAUGGCCUAGAUAUUCCACCUGCUUCUGGGCAAAAGAGCAUUUGCUCUCUUUUGCAAAGAGUUGGUGUUGCCUCAGGAUCUUUAGAACCUCAAUAACAUGCUUGACAUGCUCCUCCAGUGAGGGACUGUAGAUUAGUAUAUCAUCAAAGAAUACCAACACAUACCUUCUGAGUUGCUUCUGGAAUACCUGAUUCAUCAGUCCUUGAAAGGUUGCAGGUGCAUUAGUUAGCCCAAAUGGCAUGACCUUAAAUUCAUAUAGCCCUUGAUAUGUUCUGAAGGCUGUUUUGGGAAUAUUUUCUUCACGUACCUUAUUUGAAAGUACCCUGCUCUGAGGUCAAUUUUGGAGAAGUAUUUGGAUCCAUGCAGUUCAUCCAGUAGUUCAUCAAUAAGUGGUAUUGGAAACUUGUUUUUGACUGUGAGGUCAUUCAAUUGUCUAUAGUCCACACAGAAUCUCCAUGUGCCCUCCUUUUUCUUGACCAAAAGUACUGGUGAAGCAAAAGGGCUACUGCUCAGUUGUAUGAUCCCUGAUUGUAACAUCUCUUGUACUAGUUUCUCAAUUUCAGCCUUCUGGAUGUAGGGACACCUGUAGGGUCUAAUUUGGAAUGGCUUUGCCCCCUCUUUGAGUGUGAUGCUGUGAUCUUGGCUCCUCUCAGGAGGUAGUCCCUGAGGUUCUUGAAAUACAUCCCUAAACUCCUGCAGUAACAUCCCCAUUUUUUGUGGGGUUGACUCCUAGUUUGGUUCCUUAUCCUCUAUAGGACUCACCUGUGCCAGAAUCCCAUAUGCUUGUUUCCUAGUCCACUUGUAUAAUCUACUUCCCCUUAUCAGUUUCAAUUGUACUGUGUUACCUUCCCCUCUUAGCUCCACCUGUUGCUUUCCCUUUUUGAAACUUCAUACUCAGUCCUCUAAAGUCAAAUUCCAUUGGGCUAUAUCUAGCUAACCAAUCCACUCCCAGUAUCAUAUCGCACCCCCUAGCCUCAGAGUAUUGAACUGAUGUUGGAAUUCAUACCCCUGCAUCCUCCAUACCACAGGGUUGGUAAGGCUCUUAGACUGCAAUUUUUCUCCAUUUGCCACUCUAACUGAUAGAGCCCCACCCUUUGUUCCCAAUUUCAUGCUUCUAGCCACUUGUUCAUCAAUGAAACAAUGGGUACUGCCAAUGUCAACUAGUGCAAAAAUGGUUCUACCUUUAAUCAUUCCCUUUAUUCUGAUGGUUUGGUGCUCACUUCCCCCUGCUAAUGCAUGGAUAGAAACUUCCAUGUGUUCAUUCUCUAAUUCCCCCCCCAAUACAGUCACAGAAUAUUUCAGUCUUCUCCUUCUUCUCCCCUUCCACCUCAGUAACUGCUAUCUUCUCAUCUCCCAUAACCAAUAGGUUCAAAUGUGAUUGUCUGCACACAUGCCCUAUAGUAUAAGGUUCAGCACAUUUGAAACAAAGGCCCUUCUCUCUCUUGUGGUUGAGUUCUGCUGGUGUGAGUUUUUUAAAUUGGUUCUGAGUAUGGGGGUGGUUAUUAUAAGGUUUGGGAAUCUGCUUGUCAGGGGGUUUUGAAUAGCUUGGGGCUUUGAACAGGGGUUUCUGGAAGUUGGAGUUAUAGGUAGUGGAUUUGUGGAUUUUUUACAAUGCUCUCAGGUUCCUCUCUUGUAAUUUGGCAGCCUCUAUAGCAUCUGCUAAUGUUUUAGGUUUGGCCAUCUUUACCAUGGUUACUAUCUCCUCCUUCAAACCACUUAGGAAACAGGUUUUAUAAUAACAAUCUUGUUGAUGAGGAAGGGAAGGCAUUACCAGGGCUUUGAGUAUUUCGAACUUCUCCAGGUAGUCAGCUACUGAACCUGUCUGCAUCAGUUUGUUGAAUUCCUCUAUAGCUUCUUCAGGGGUGCCUUCUCCAAAUCUCUCACAAAGUGCAUUGCAGAGUUCUUCCCAAUGAAUAACCUCCCUUCCAGAAAACAUGCCGUGGAACCAUAUAUCUGCUUUGUCUCUGAGAUAAAGUUCUGCAACUUCAGUUCUCGUUUCUUCCUCUAUUCCAUUGAUUUUGAAAUACUUGUUGGCCUUCCUGAUCCACUCCCUGGGGUUCUCUCCAGUGAAGGUUGGUAGAUCCACCUUAGGAAGUCUGGUGAAUAUUUUGCUCUCCUUAGCCUCUGACUUAUCCAUAACUCCCUUCUGCGCCUCCCUUCUCCUGUUAUCUUCCUUAUAUCCUGAAUCAGACUCUGAGUUGCUGCUCUCUACCUCCUUUCCUUUGUUGUUCAGCUUUGCUAACAUUUGUGCCAUCAUGUUCAUCAUACCUUCGUAUUUCUGAUCCAGGUUUUUUAGGGCUUUUUCAGUGUUCUCCUGCUUGUGUUCCAUGAUCCUCACAGCUUGAUCCAGUCCAUCACUUCUGUUAGCAAAAGUUCUAACUACACUCCCUAGCUCAGUUAUCUCUUUCCUCAUCUCAUCUUGAUUUUUAGUCAUUUCUCCCAAUGGCUUGUAGCUAGCUCUGAUACCACUGUUAUGGACCAGAAACCAGAGGAACCAGAAUUUGCAUGAAGCAGAAUAAAUCAAGCUUAAUGAGAUGGGAUCAAUCAACAAUGAAUCAAUGAAAUAGUGAACGAAUGAACUUCAGCUUUCAUUAAUUGAAUUCUGGUAACGUAUUACAAGAACAGAGAUAAUGGAUUUAACUAAGAAGGUGGAAGAAUUUGAAGGAAAAAUUGAGAGGGAAAAUGAGGAUUGCUCCUCACGUCAAUACAGCAAAUCUGAAUUCAAAACUCUAAGUCUGAGCUCCAUGAAGCAGACAUGCCUGCUUAUAAAGCUAUUAAUUUCUAACAAACUAUUAACUAUGCUAAUAAGAAUCGAACACGUGUCCCAACUACAGCUGCAAUUUGCUUCAAGUUGCCGCGUCUCUGGGCUUUCUGUUAGAACGGAUGAAACCCCAGCAAAGGCGUGGUUUGGUAGACGCGCCUUUUCUGGAACUCCUCCUUCUGAUCACGCCUUCCGUUACUGGAUUCCACGCUUCCAGCUUUCUUACUUCCUAUUGCAUACUUCUGAUAUCAUUCCAGUUCCCACGCUUCAUUACAGUUUCCGGUGGCGAAAAAAUUUGCUGUAAAAGGCAACGUUUAUCGAAUUCUGUUUUCAUUCAUCGAUGCCUCUGAGGAAGUGCAGGCGCUCAAGGAGGGAAAAUGGCGCUAUUUGGAUGAAUCAUUAAGCUUUAUUGACGAGCCUACUGUCGUCGUUGCUUCUUCCAAUGGUUUUCUCCUUUGCCGUACUGUUGAGUACCAAGAGGAUGUUACAGUUGUAACAUCAGAAGGUGAAGAAAAAAGCUAUUUCAUUUGCAAGCCGGUCACAAGCAUUGUUCGCCGUCGUGUGUUGCGGUCGCGGUUGUUCCACAUUCUUCGCGGUAUAUCGGUUGAAUAUCGAGUGAUACGUAUAUUAGCACAUAAAAAUUGCUAAAAAAUAUGCAAAAAAUUAUUGAAAAUAAAAAUACCAUAAAAAUCAUAAUUUGAAAAAAUAUCAGAAUGGACUCGAAUAUUUUAGCUCAUUCCAUACAUCAUGAUUCAAAUCGGUCAAUAACAAUCGAGUCACAGUGAAUCGUUACAAAUAUGGAAUUAUCCAUGAUUCAGGGACUUGUAUAAUACUGGUCCUUUCCGUUUCGAUUAUAACUCAGUCGAGUCAUAUCGGACUCGGCCACGACUCGGGGCCACUCGGCCAGAUGGCUAACCAUGGUCGCAAGACAAUUUCAACGACUUCCAAAGACUCACAAGCCAGCUGUGGUUUGCCAUCUUGCCUUUAUUAGCAAAGGAGAUAUGUGCUAUCUCUGGAUGCUGUUUAUUUUGAGGUAGUUCAAGCAGCAAUAGUGCCAAAUCAUAGGCAAUUUACUAAAACGCUACUUGUUGAAACGUUUAGUUUCCUAACAAACAAAUGGAGUGAGGCUACCAUAGUUUCUUCUGAUUCAACCUUUCUUCUGAAUAGUGGAUUGGAUUAUCAAGCCGGAUUUGUGAUUGAUGAUCUUCUAGAAUGCUUGGAACUAUGAUGCCAUAGGUCAUUUCGAUUAUGCCCUGUUGGCAUAUGAUCCUUGUGCAACCGUGACAGGACGCCACGCUUGACAGUAAUAGAGAGGCCAGUAAGGCUGGAUGGGAACAAGUUUCAGGCUAUGAGUGAUCGCUUUGGUCCCUGUGUGGGUAAAGUACACUUUGCUAGAUGCGAUAAGGUAAAUUUUGAGGUGUGGGUUCGGAAGGAAUUCAGGAGGAGAACUGAUUGGAUUUGGGUCAGGAAGUAUCGGGUGAGUUCAAAUAGGAUCCUCAAAGAUGUUCCUAAAUGUUUUUACAUAAUAUUUCGGAUUGAUGAAAUUUACUUUCCGCCAUUGUUCAAAAUUUUCACCCAUGGGAUUCUCGGUUGGUUUUCAUGGCCUUGCGUGACUCGGCAUUUUGGUCCACGAUAUGGAGUGACCGUGGGCAGAAGAAGGAAAUUCUGGAGGAUUUUUGGGCUUCUACAGCAUCUGGAUAUUGCUUUUAUGAAUGACCUUCUUCUUGCUCCCUCGUGUCGCCUUCUGUUAAUCCUUCUAUUCUAGAUUGGGUUUUGUUCUGUUUUGGUGCCUAGGUUUCAUCUUGGAUUAAGAUAGAUUUUGCACCUGAUGUUUAUCAUUUUCCAAGAUUGUCAUACUGGAAACUAUGGACUUAUAAGAAUUACUACUAUAAUAUACAGCACUAUCUCCAUAAUUGGCUUUACUAAAACUGUUAGCUUGAAGUUUUUUUUUCACAUUUAGCAAAUACUUUCUACUGCCAUUCAAAUUUCUUGUGGUCUAUAACUUUGUCUCUAACAGGAGCUUAUGGUGGUGUUUGCUCCCGGUGGAUGAAUUUAAAAAUUGGUUGUAUCAUAUUAUUGCACAUAUUUACAUUACACAGCAAAUAAUACCUAUGUUUGUGAAAAAUAAGGAACAGCAACUCAUGUAAUGUUGGUAAUUGUUUGGCGCGGGAAAAUUGCAAAAUUAUGGACAUUACAACUUAAGUGAUUUUUUUUUUCUGUAAAUUACAACUUAAGAGUUAGUGACAAUUGAGGAAAAAAAUGAGAAUAUGAGAAGAAUGAAAGAUAAAUGGAUUAAAAAAAUCAGCAACUCUGAAAUUUAUGGAAUUCGGAAAUUGAAAUUUUGGGAAAGAAUGAACAACUUGGAUAGACAGAAGAGAUGGGACAAAACUGUGAGAAAUAAAUAACAGUUGCAAUGAUGGGACUAUUUGGUGAAAGGAAAUGGUUGGUUACAACUGUUUUAAAUUUGGAUUAAUCUUUCCAACACUGAUAAUGUUUACAUUAUCACUGUUGGAUGAAUAACAACUAUGUAAAAUUUGAAUUUGAAAUUCAACUUUUGCACAUAUGUCAUAGAUCUAAUGUUGGUGUAUACACUGUCAGUAUAUACAAGAUUUAAGAUGCGUUUGAUAAAAUUGAAAUUUGAAAUCUGAAAUCUGAAUACAUUAAGUUAUUGAAUUGUUAAGUAUUAAAUCUAAUACAUUUGAGUGCAUAUCACAUUCAGUGAUAAAUGAAUAGCUUAUCACUUAAUUUUGAGAGUAAGUUUUGCCUAGAAAAUUCAAUACCACUUAAUUAAUUCAGAUGUUCAAUUUUUGGUUAUCAAACGAUCUGAAUCCAUUAAUUUUUUUCAGAAUACUAGAACCAUUAAAUUCAAGUGUUAACUGGGUUAUUAAAUAGGGUCUUACUCUUUAAAUUUUGCUAGUCAUUUGAUUUUAUUACUAACACUUUCAAUUUUUCACCCUUCAAAUUUUGGCCUCAAUUGUUGCUUAGGAUGAGUAUCAUUCUUUUAGGAAGAUUUUUAUAGUCUUUUCCACCUAUAAAGGGAAGUAAGUGUGAGUUUCAAAAUUAAAGGGAUGUUAGGUCAAAAUUGUUGGAAACCUCAAAGGAGGUUUCUGAAAUUAUCUCAAAAAAAUUAUUAGUUUUCCCAUAUCUACCAAAUUUGGUGCCUAUAUUUAAAAGGAAAAAAAAAAUCCUGGAUGUGCCAAACUAUGUUUCCCACAUCCCUUGUAACUUUUAAUAUGGGAAAAUGUUGUAUGCAUUCCUAUUUUUAUUAAUCGCACUCCUACUAUCACUUUAAUCAUAUAGCUUUCAUUCAUUAGACUCUAUGAUAAAACAAAUAGUAGGAGUGGAAAUAACAAAAAUAGAGUGCAAAUAACAUUUCCCUUAAUAUGGGUAAAAUACAGAAAAGGGCUUCGCCAAAAGUUAACCGGUCACCCUAUAAUUUUAAAAUAUCCACAUAACCCUUCGUAUUCUAAAUUAACUAGUGCUUUUGGCACACUCUACAUGCAUACUUAUUUGAAAAAUAUAUAAUUAACUUUUUAGCAAUAAGUUGUUCUAUGUAAAAUCAUGUUAGGGCAUGUAUGUUUUUUUUUUCUUUCAGAAAUCUAUAAAACUGCUCUUUUUUUAAUUUAGGAAGUUAUUAUAUUUAAAAUCGUGGUAGAGAAAAAGAAGGGAUGUGGGUAGUUGUACUUAAAAGUUCAAUAAUGGUAGAGAAUGAGAGGGAAAUUGAGUAAUUUGAAAACUAACUCUGGAUGAUAAUUUUGGUAUAACAAUAAAUUAUAUAAAUUGUUGGGUAAAAUACCAAAAAACUCCUUGUGGUUUACUAAAUGUUUAAUUUAACUCCACCUGGUUUGGAAACCUACACUAUAACUCCCUGUGGUUUCAACUAAUUUGAAAAUUGGACAAAAAGCAUCCAAUCUAACGGUUGUACAUGAAAUGUCAAUAUUGCCGCUAUAUAAGUGAACGCCCUAUGGUUUGUUGAAUGUUCAAUUAACUCCCUCUAGUUUGAAAAAUUACACUAUAACUCCCUGUGAUAUGGAUUAAAUUGAAAAUUGAAUGAAAAGCAUUUUACAUAGUAGAGGCAAUAUUGACAUUUCACACACAACUGUUAGAUUGGAUACUUUCUGUCCAAUUUUCAAUUUAGUCAACACCACAGGGAAUUAUAGUGUAGGUUUCCAAACUAAAGGGAGUUAAAUUAAACAUUUAUCAAACCACAUGGAGUUUUUGAUAUUUUACCCUAAAUUGUUUACACAAAAGGGAUCUCCCCCAUUACAUAUACCGUAGAUAGAUGUAGAAAGUUGAUUUUUAACCUACUAUGUUACCAGUAAAAAGUAAAAUACCCUCAUUUAUUAAACAAGUUGUAUUUUUUUAUUAUUUCUUAUAUUUUCUUUCUUUUCAUUCCUUUUUUUUAUUUAGAAAGACUACCUAUUCCUUAGCCUCCUUUUUUUUUCUUUUUUUAAUAUUCCUUUUUCUUCCUUUUUCCCUAUGCUUUCAUUCACCACCCCAGAACCUCCACCACCACCUCUUGCUAUCUCCUCCCUUUUCCUGCUCUGUCCUCCCUGACCAUCACCUCCUCCCCCCUCCUCCCCUCUUCCUUCUCCCCCUCCAAUAAUUUUAAAAUAACUCAAAAUUUCUAACAUUUUUAAAAGCACCCUAAGCUGGUUAGGCAAUAAUGAAACGAAAAGGAAGAAAAAGUCAAACCCAUACCGGAAUUUUAACACCAAAAAGACCAAAAAGAAAAGGAAUGACAAUGAAAAGAAAAGAAAAAAAUUUAUGGGUCACUUGCAAAUGAUGCACCAAUUUUACGCUAUGUUGUUAAACUUGGAUCGGAUAGCGAUUCGGCUAAACUACUGGAUUAGCGGUCAACUAGUAGGAUCAAUUGGACCGUUCUCAAAAAUCUGUUGACGUCAACAUGAUGUCUUAAUUAUUUUAUAUUUUUAUAAGUUUCAGAAAUAUUGAAAUUAAGUUCUUAGUUAUAUUCGGCCAAUCAUACAAAAUGUUCCAAAAACAUUAGAUUUGAAAUCAAAUAUACACCUAAUAAUUAUAUAUAAAAAUGUAAAUUCAUCGUUAAAAUAUGUCCAUUCCCCAAAACUACAUGAAAAACUAAAUUAAAAUAAAUUAAUCCAAGUUGGAAUCACUGCUACUAAAUUGAUAAGAUGAUAGGGAUGAAAACAUCUUGAUUCAGAGAUCAAUCAAAAAAGGGAGUGAUUUUGGUAUUUGCAUUAAGUGGGUGGUAUUUUCUUAUUUCGAUUUAUAAAUGAAAGUGUUACAAUUUUGGUAAGUCAAAUUAUGUGUACCUUGGAGAUGAAACUAGCUUACAAGCUGAAGCGAAAGCACUACUCAUUGGGCUGAAGUUAUGUGUACAGAGAGGCUUCAUUGAUAAUCUGAUUAUUGAAUCAGAUUCCAUGAUGUUAGUACGUAUUCUGUUGGAAAAAUGCCGGUGUCCGUGGUCUGUCCGUGGGGAGGUGGAGCAGAUAUUGCAAACAGCUCGGGGAUGUGCCAAGUUCACACAUUGCUAUUGGGAAGCUAACAAGGAGGCAGAUGUAUUGUCGAACGAAGGGUGUGCUAUUCCUGACCGGUUGGUUUGUAUCUAUGAACGUAUAGCUGAAUUGCUAUCAGUAGCCAAGGGAGCUUAUCGGUUAGAUAAGCUUGCAUUUCCUUAUUUUCGAAGAUGUAGGGUCAAAUCUACUACUACCAAUGCGUAGUUUGUACCUCCUUUGAGUUUGAAUAAUAAUAAUAAGUAUUUUGUUUAAAAAAAUUAUGUUUGGGAAAAAUAAGAAAGAAAUGUUUGAGAAUUGGUUCAACCAAUCAAAUUAGGUCACUAGUUUAGCCAAUUUUCAACGGUUUGGACUAAUUUUUGACCAAAAUAGUUUUGUACUAUAAACCAACUCGGGAAAAAGGCCGGUUCAUGAUCGGAUCAGUCGAAUUGACCGAUUCACGAUCGGACUGGUCGAAUCGACCAGUCCUAUCCGAGUAUAACAACACUAGUUGUAGGUCAAAUUCCAUAUCAAUUUAAUACAUGCUGAGAUUAUAUAGACAUUUCAAAACCAUAGGGUGGCCAAUUAAGCUUGGCAAAAUCACAUGAGGAUUUUUCUAUAUUUUACCCUUUGAUAUAAAUAAAUAUAUAUAUAUAUAUAUAUAUAUAUAUAUAUAUGUAUAAAUAAAAUCAGCUCCUUGCAAGGGCGCCCAUGUUGUGCGCCUUAGUUAGCUAGAAGGCUUUUGUUUCCUUGCCUUCUUUUUUUUUUUUAAAUUUCUCCAUCAAAAUAAGAAAUAAUUUCAAAAACCUCCUUUGGGGUUUCUAACAGUUUCACUGUCCUAUUUUGAGAUUUUAAAAAUAUCACAACCGCCCUUAAAACUUAUUUUCUUUUAACAAAUCUACCCAAUUCAAAAAAAUCAAGAAUAAAAAAAUGAUUUCUAGAGUGAGAAGAUUAUUUCAUUCCAAAAGUGACCUUCCACUUAGUACUAGUUAGUUGAUUCAAAAUCAAAAUGGAAUAUUAGUUAAAAAUAAAAAGUAAAGGCCAAAGUUAGGAAGUAUCACGUAAUUGAGGGAAAUACAACACCAGCAUGACUAUAGUAGAAUUCGGUAACAAUGGCUAUUUUCAAGCAAACUACAUAAAAAAAAAAAAAACAAAAUCAAAGAUCUAGAGAGGAAAUUUUGUUACUUCGGAAUCAAGAUUUACAUGUAGAAUUCCUAAACUCUUAGUAUUGGUCUUUGAAAGAUUUUGAACAAAAAUUAGACAAGACAAAGUAUGGCCUCCUCAAGAAGAAAUACCACAAUAGAUUGCUAAUCAUAAAAUAUGCUAAAAUAUGUUUUUUUUUUAAUUAUUGUUUCGCUUAUGAGUUCCUUUAUUUCACAUAAUUAAUAAGAAAUUUCCAUUGUUUGUAAUUAAAGAGUAACAGCUUUCAUGCAAUGUUUGGAUUAAUAGAAAGGAAAUGAUUUUAAUGGAAAAGAAAGGAAAUCAAAGUAGAGAAAAUCGAAUUCUAACCUUCCUAUUUGGAUUACAUAUGCAAAGAAAAGAAAAGAAACACCAAAUAUUUUGGAAAAGAAAGGAAACAAAAAGAUUAUGUGUGAUUACAUUUUCUUUGUAAUUUAAUAAAAUCCAAUUGUAAACAUCUUUUAACACUUCACCCUCUUUUUUGCGUAUUUUUUAUAUGUAUCUAGUUAUUCUCGUGAAAAUUCUAUGAUGUAAUAAUAUACCAAAAGGAAAAUUAAUCUUUUUUUCAGGAAAGAAAUUACAAGAACUACUAAAAUAUAGAAAAAGAAUCUUAAAAUGUUAACAAUUAUCAUUAAAAGAUUUAGUAUUCAAGAUUUUCAAAUUUAUUGCAUUCCAAUUUAUGGUUAAUUUAGUUAUAAGUGGCUCAAUUGUGCCCCCCCCCCCCCCAUAUAACCAUGUAAAAUCUCCUAAAUUGUAAGAGUCAAUGAAGUAAGCAUAUUUUUAAAAUUUCGGAGCGGGGUAGCAAAAGUGUAGAAAUCUCAUAAUAAAGUAUUUCCUGAAAUUAUCCCUUAGAAUAAAGUAUUUUCCAACUAAAAGUUUCCAAAACUAUUUAGCUAUUGGAUCAAGGUUAGAUGCCAAGGGUCCUACCCAAAAUAUAUCUAGGUUCAAGAAUGAUUAUCUUUAUCGGGAGUUCAACAAUACUUUUUUGAUACCACACCCGUGAGUAUAAAUUCACCGUUAGAUAUAUAAAAAGAAAUAUCAACCCUUAAAUGAUUUUAGAAGUUUCAAAUUAUUGGUAGGCACCGGUCUACAGCUUUUAAGGCCCAUUAAGGUUUGGUGGGAAUUUAGGUCAAUCUUUCAUUCAUAUAGUAAAUUCUAUCCUCUCCCUAGAAUUACACAUUUGGAGAGUUUCCUUCUCUGCAAUUUAUUCUCUAUAAAUUACUGACUUAACCAUGGGAGUUUUUUUCGAGAGACAGAGCCCUACCUCUCUUUUGUAGUUCACCACUGAAGUUUUGUCAACUACUAUCCGCUGUAGACAGUUAAGCUUUUUUUUUUUUUUUUUUUUGUAUUAACAAUCAUUAUGAAUGCCUUUAUGCUUUUAUUAAUUAUUACCUUGACUCUACCUUCCUUGCUAGGAAUUGCUACUAGGUUUCGCAAGUAUUUUUCUACACGCUCCUCACCAGCCCAAGCAUGCAACAGCACAAAUUAGUCAAGUGUCCUUUCCAAACGGAAGCCUAUUGAAAUUAAUGAAAGAUAUGAAGGCUUUCUUUCCGGUUGAAGCCAAUGUAUUUUCUUUCUUGAAAUAAAUUUCCACCAUUCCUUGAUAAAAAUUCAAAAGCUGUUGGACUAAAAGAUGAACCAAACUAUUCGAUACUCAAAUCGAACUCGACUUGGUAAAAAUUCGUUCCAAUUUAGUUCGCUAACUAAUCAAACUAAACUUGAACAACAAUUUAUAUUCAAUAACAUUCAAGCUCGAUAAAAUAAUUUGUUCAAAUUUGGUUCGACAAAUAAACAAGUCAAGUUUGAACGAAAUUUCAAGUUUGCUAAAAUAAUCAAACAAGUUUGAACACUAGGAUGUUCAUGUAAUCAUGCAUACUAUGCCAACCAAUAUACAGUUUUUUUUUUUUUUUUGGCUCAACACACACUUUUUUUUAUUAAAUAUGUCACUAGUGAGAAUUUACAUCAAUGGUACAUUAUUUAUAUGCAUACACGUACAUAUACGUGCAUGCAUAAAAAUACAUGGGAUUCAACUUUAUGCGUAUAUACACAUGGCUAAAGGUUCAAGAUUGCCGUGAUUUCAUUCUAUUUUCAUAUAUAUAUAUAUAUAUAUAUAUAUAUAUAUAUAUUUAUAUCUAUAUAUAUGUGUGUGUAUAUGCAUAUGUAUGUGUGUCUAUGCAUAUAUAUGUGUGUGUGUGAAAACCAUGUAGUAGAAAACGCACCGAGUAAAAGAUUCAACUGUUAAUGUGAAGGUAGCUGAUGUACUUUAAGAGCUUCAAUGUCGAUUAUGUGUUCUCAAUCCCAGCACAUGAGCAUGCAUCCUAGAUGACCUUCCCUGUUCCGUCACUACACCCAACCUAUACUCUCAUAAACACGCAUAGACAGGCAUCUUCAAAGUGAAUGACCAUCAUAAUUGCGUCCAAGCGCGCAGUCAAGCGAAUUCAAAUGACAGAUCUCAACCAUUUUGGAUAUAUAUAUAUAUAUAUAUAUAUAUAUAUAGACAGAGAGAGAGAGAGAGAGAGAGGAUCCAAGCUUUACAUGCUUUAGAGGUAACAAAGCAAAAAUCACCACUCAAACCUGUAGGAAACUGUUUCAGUAUGAAGUUUAUUUGGUAUGUACAAUGGACUGGUACAGCAAAUAUGCUAAUCAAUCACAUUUCCCUGGAUCUUCCAAGAGAGAAGGCUAUUAACAUGUGUAAAAUAGUGGCAAUUAAGAGGAAAACUUCCCUUCUUCAUUUCCACAUUUUUCAUAAGCUGCAAAGAGCAGUCAUAAGCAUAUAAAGA
RNAcentral lists this long non-coding RNA (49893 nucleotides) under Coffea arabica (coffee). Its description in RNAcentral is "long non-coding RNA (CARA_LNC007095)". The record is from RNAcentral. Lineage: Eukaryota; Viridiplantae; Streptophyta; Magnoliopsida; Gentianales; Rubiaceae.